AGCCUUUGAGAAGCUCUCACUGGACAGCCAGUCUCAUGUCUCAGCAUUCUCUGUUGACAAUCAGGUCCAAGGCAGCAUAUCACUUGAUGGACCAUGGAUUGAUUCCUCAAUUUCCCUCCAUAGCAGAGAAGAAACAAGGGACUUUUCUUCAUCAAGCAAGCUUCUUACAGGACAUCAAGAUCUUUACAGUAUACAUUUGAACUGAUCAAUGAAAAUGAGGUAUACUAAUAAUACUUCCAAGUUGUUCUUGCUUGAAGUUUUCUGCAAGGAUGUUUUCUGAAAACUAUUUCAAAUUGAUUCUUGAAGUAGUAGAAGCAGAAAUAAGCUUAUUUUGUUGUAUAAUUACAAUAUUUGUAUAAAAUUAUGUGAAUAAGUGCUCCGGUUGAGGCUUGAUGAAGAAAAAUAUUUAUAUUUCUUUAUUUUUCCAACUUACUCCUAUGGUGGUAACUCAUCAUUCCACAGGGAGAAAUCAGUAUUUUUAUUUUAUUUUGUUCAACUUUAUUUCUGUCGUGUAUCCAAAAAAGUUGAUGAACGGAAGGAAAUAAAAGGUUUUACUCUAUUGGGCUUGAGCCCACUUGAAUUAUAAGACUAUACUAAAUCCAAAGUCCAUUUUCUAGGCUUCAGGCCCAACUGAAUUAACUGCGACCCCACCAAUUUGUCUUGGUAUGAUGUGGAAUGAGCAUCUCUACUCUAAUGGGGUUUGGGCCCCCUUGAAUUGUCACAUUGUUGAACCUAACUUAGACUCAGUCCAAUGCCAACUUGUUGAGCUUUUCGCCUACUUGAAUUGAGCGGGAGGCCCACCAAUUUUUAUUGAUUUGAGAUUCGAAGAAAUGAUGGUGACAACUAACAUGUGAGAAGAUGAUGUUUUCGUGGUAGAAAAUCAGAAAACUCCUUAGGGUUCUUAGACAAUCAAAGACAUCCAAAGGCACUUGGAAGUUUUUGGUCAGUAAAACAGUCAUAUAUCAAAAUUCCUUAGACAAACAAACCUUGAUGCCUGUCUUUCAAAUUUCCUUAGACAAACAAACCUUGAUGCCUGUCUUUUUACCAAUCCCCAUUUAUGUUCCUCUCAAUAUCUCUCCCNNNNNNNNNNNNNNNNNNNNNNNNNNNNNNNNNNNNNNNNNNNNNNNNNNNNNNNNNNNNNNNNNNNNNNNNNNNNNNNNNNNNNNNNNNNNNNNNNNNNCCCCCCCCCCCCCACCUUCAUACAGAUUACAUAAUUACAUUACUUCUAUCUAUGUGCCCAUACAAUCAAUUUAACCUUAGUCUAACUCUCCUUCCUUCAUGGUUCUCUAAACCUCACUUACAUUUAGUGUUUUAUUACUGUAAUUUCUUGUCCUUCAUGAUUUCUCAUGACAUUGCACUAAGAGCAUAUAGAAAACUCCCUGCCCUUCAAAAUUUUCCCUUCAAAAUUUUCCCCAUUUACUUUUCUUAGUAGUGCUUCUUGAUUUCAUACUUGUUUGCAGGGCAAAAGGAUUCUAACAUGGACCCAUCCUAGACCACUUUUCUGAAUUGAAACUAUUAUGAAUUCACUAUCUCUUGUUUUUAUUGUCCAACCCACUAACACCAUGAUAUUUUUUAAAUUAUAUAUCUAUAACCAUAAUAUCAAUUGCUUUUUAUCACACUUCAAAUUAUUUUAGGGAAAAUUCUAAGACGUAUGAUUAAAUCUCGAUCAAUGAAUGAAGGUAUAAAGAAAUAAGACAGCUACAAAGUAGCAAGAACUUUUUGGCCAUGUGGUUGUUCUUGAUUGGACAUCACUAGCACCAUAGCAAGAUCCUUAUCCUAGCUUUUGAGUUUAUGCAUGUUACUGAUAUAUGGAAAAACGUUUAUGCCAACACCCCACUGAGGAAGAAUGGGCCAUGUUUGUACCAACACCCAACUAAGGAACACCAAGCCUAAAGUUAGGUUUGAAAAAGCACUAUUUUUGGACCUUUUUUCUAAAGAAGAAUCUUCAAUGAUUGUACAGAGGCUGCUUGCUUAAAGAACAACAUCUUUAGGAACCAAAGGCUUUAUGAUUCGGAUGGCACUUUCAAAUCUAAACCCACACCUUGAACCAACUUGAUGAAAAUUUUUUUGGAAGAAAAUUAGGUAUUAUGCUUGAAUUUGCUCUUGAUUUCACUUUUAAUGGACUAAAAUCAAUGCUAUUCCUUGAAGACAUAGUCAAAAUUUUAUGUUGCUCUAGUGGCUCCUACAAUAAUUAAGAGAGGUACAGUAGAGAUUGAAGGGUUAUAGUAGUAGAGAAUUUUAGUGUGAUGAGGAGUUGAGUUCAAGUUUACCUUUAGGUAGUACCUAGGGUCCCUUAAGGUAGUACCUGAAGGCCACUAAGGUAGUACCUAAGGGCCCUUAAGGUAGUACUUAAGGUACAAUCCCAAAAAACCAUUGGUGGACUACUUCAACACUAAAGAGAACCACAUAAUGGGAUGCUCUAAGGGUCAUAAAGGAAAACCCGAGGCUUGGGAGAGGUUGAGUUCAAGUUUACCUUUAGGUAGUACCUGAAGGCCACUAAGGUAGUACCUAAGGGCCCUUAAGGUAAUACCUAAGGUACAGUCCCAAAAAACCAUUGGUGGACCACUUCAACACUUAAGAGAACCAUAUAAUAGGAUGCUCUAAAGGUCACAAAGGAAGACUCGAGGCUUGGGAGAGGUUGAGUUCAAGUUUACCUUAAGGUAGUACCUAGGGUCCCUUAAGGUAGUACCUAAAGCCCAUUAAGGUAGUACCUAAGGGCCCUUAAGGUAGUACCUAAGGUACAGUAGACCACUUGAGCACUCAAGAAAACCACAUAAUGGGAUGCUCUAAUGGUCACAAAGGAAGACUUGACUCUUAGGAGAGGUUGAGUUCAUGUUUAGCUAAGGUAGUACCUAGGGGUCUCAGUUCCUAUUUUGAGGCCCAAAAUCACAUAAUCAAAGAAAUAGAUAUACAGUCAAACUCUAAACCACUAAACAAAAGUAAAAAAGUGAAAUAGUAAUAAUAAUACAUAACACUUACAAAUGAGUUAAGAAUUCACCUCAUAAACAAAAGUAGCAAAAUUUUAGGCCAUGAGAGAUUAAAAAAGGUUAGUGAAUUCUAUAUUAUAGUAUUAACAGUGUGUGCAGAAUGGUCAUCUUUAAUAACCCAUUUAGGAGUGGGGGAAAGUGUAACCAACCAUAACAAAAACAUCCAUGGCACGGGACUUGAGUUUUGGGUUCUUCUCCAAAGAAAUCAUUUACUAUUUUAAGAAUGACAACAGUUUCUGACCUAAUGAGCUCUAUAUACUCACCAAACUCAUAGCAAAGCUGGAGGGAAUAAAUGGUAAACAUUAUAAACAAAUUUCACGAACUAAACUCAGUAAGAGCAUUCAACUUUAAACAUGUGUAGUAACUGAUACCAUAACUAUAUGCCCAAACAAAAUAAAUAAAGAGUAACAUACAAAGCCAAAAACUAAGAUGAUACGUAAUUAUUUACACUGUUAACAAAAAGCAAUUAAAUUAUACUAUAUAAAUUGGUAUAACCAUUGAGGUUUAUAAAGAUCUGUAUCUUAUCUUCAUUAAUCAGUUUGGCAAUCAUAUUAGAUGACAUAGCAAAAACAUCUAAAUGUGCUUAGCUUCUGACUGAAUACGAUGUCUCUAUUCAGUUCAAUCAUUUAGACUAACUACAUAACAGAACACCUAUCACACAAAAAUGACAGGAAAAAAGAAGUUUUUACAUUCUAAUGCAUAUGGCAGUGAGAUCAGGUUCUUAGAUUGGGAAUGUCGAAUUGUUCACUAGCAACAAACCUUAACAUUUUCUUUCUGGUGCAUACCAAAUACAGAGGCCAUGAGGUAUGAUAGGGAGUGAUUACUAAAGUCAUUGCUUAAAUUCCUACAAAAGUAGAAAAACGAUUAUAAGAUACAGAAACAAUGAAAUGAAAGAAUUCACAUGAUACAACACAACUUUACUUCCUACGGAAGCAUCAAGUAAGAUGUCUUUUGCUUUAUUCGCUCAUCUUCUGGAAGCAGAAAAGGACUGGGAUGUUAUCCAUCACACUCCUCCAUUUUGGAAAUGUUUUUGUGAAUUAUUUGGAUUUUAAAUUUAGAACCGCAGAGGUUUAGGCUUUGAACAUUGAGAGAGGUAACAGAGAAAGGGGGAAGCGUUGGAUUUAGAGGUGGCAAUAGAAAAUGCGGCGACAACAGUGAGGAAGAGGUGCUGCCCAUGGUGGGCGUGACAAUGAGCGGGAGAUAGAUGAUUUGAGGGGAAUGCUUGAGUUUCAUGCUUGAGUUUCUUUCGUUGAAUCAACCGUAACAGGUUCAAGUUAGGGCAAAAUGAGAGGAAGACAAAAAUCUUGUUUUAGAAAUAGGAAAAUUUCAAAUAACACUCUGUUCAAAUGAUGAAGAAGUCGAUGAAAGAGAGAAAUGUUGAUUGGGAAAUUUCAGACUGCAAAAAUGCAUGGAUGCUGAUGUGGAGAUUGGGUAAUGGUAAACUGGGUAUAAAAAUACCACUCAGCACAGAGUGCAUAAAAAUCAUAUAUUUUUUCAUAUUAAUGGGGGAAUAUUGGAUUUCCAAUUUUUAGGUUCAGAAAAAGCUAUUAUGUCCAAAUGGGCGGGCCAAAACACAACUUUCCCUUGUUAUUUUCCACAUUGUGACAUGACGUGAGUCCUUCCCCUUGGUCCUUUUGGACGCUCCUUGUAUUCAGUGGCAAAUUAGUACGGUUGACUAGUCCACAACCUUUGUUCAUCGUAUCUAGUUUGUUUCCAAAGAUUGAACGACAAAAUUCUCCUUUGUUUUAUUUAUAGCUAAAUAUAAAAAUAAUAAUAAAAAAUCAUUAAUAUUUACUAAGUAUUCAUUCAAUAAAAAAUAAUGGUGAUGAUAAAAGUGGGAGUCCAAUUAGAAUAUUUAAAUAGAGAAAUUUUCAAAUAUCCACACAUUUUAGUAUUAGACAAUUCAUUACAAUAUACUUUCUUUUUAUUUAAUAAUAUAUUUUCUUUCUAUUUUUAAAUUCAUCUAAUUAGUUGUAAUUUCCAAUUUUUGUGUUUUAGGCUAAUUGUAGGAUUGUUUUCUAUUUUUGUGUUUUGGGUAGACUGUUUCCUAUUUUUGUGUUUUAGGUUUGUGUAUAUAUAUUCAUUUUUAAUCAAUGAAAAAGUCAAACCAUUGUUUCUCAAUAAUCAUCUCUCUACUUUAACAUGGUAUCCAGGGCUUAAUCUUCUUGGGCGUAUUUUUUUUUUCCCUUCUCCUCAAUGGCUUUUGGUGCAUCAUUCUCUUCCACCAAUGAUCCUAUCACCAUCCAAAACUCCUAAGAUCGUCAACAUUCCCUUUUUACAAUCAAUCUUUCCAAUAUCACCAAAUUGUCAUCCACCAAUUAUCUCACAUGAAGCCUUCAAAUCCAAUAUUUUUUUGAAGGUUAUGAUCUUCAUCACUUCAUUGAUGGCGCUCAUACUCCACCACCACCCACCGUCACCGUCACUAGUGUUGCAUCCCCAAAUCCGACAUACACAACCUAGAAACGUCAGGAUCGUCUCAUCUCUAGCGCUCUCCUUGGUGUUAUUUCCAUUUCACUACAACUGCUUAUUGUUUGCACCACCACUUCCCUUGAUGCAUGACAACCUUAGCCAAUACCUAUGUCAAACCAUCUCGUGGUCAUAUUAAACAAUUGAAGGAACAAUUAUAGCGGUGUACCAAGGGCUCUCUAACUUAUUGGACUUACGCCUUUGUCACUACUGUAUAUCCCAUCAACUGUAUGCCCACACCCACACUACAUCUCUCAUUUCCUUUUGACAAACUCUUUGAGUCUCCACCCAACUACACUAAACUUCGGGUGUUCAGUUGCUUAUGUUAUUCAUGGUUUCGUCCUUAUUCUCAAUAUAAACUUGACUCUUGUUCUACUCUUUGUGUUUUUCUUGGUUACUCUUCAAUACAAAGUGCCUAUAUUGUCUAUCUUGAUCGUCACCCAAUUUCCUCAGCAGAUCAACUUGCCGACGCUCUUACUAAACCGCUUCCAAGAAGUCACUUCCAAGAAUUAUAGGUCAAGAUUGGUGUCUCCUCUAGAGCUCUUAAUAUUUUAUAUUUCUAAAAGUUACUAUAAUAAAUUUUAAUUAAAAGAAUUUAUUUGAAGUGAUCAUAAAUAGAAAUCUAAAAAAUUUAGAUGUUUAAUUAAUUUUAAAAAUGUUUGAAAAUAAUUUAUCAACAAACUACCCUUAAAAGUUAAAACUCUCAAAUUUAAUUUAAAUUAUUGUAUUUAAAACAGUAUAAUUAUAAUUUACAAAAGCUUUGUAUAUUUAAACUAAUAAAUUCAACUAUUUAUGUAAAUUUAUAAAAAAAGAAAAAGAAAAAGUAAUGAUACAUUAAUUUUUAAUAUUUUAAGUUUAUAAAGUUAUUGUCUUAGAUUUAUAACUAAAAAUGUGUUAUAAAACAAAGUAAGAGAAAAAGAAAGCAAGAAAGAAAGAAUAAAAUGCAUGAAAAAACUCUCUUGAAUUUUGAUAGGGGUCUCUCCUUUUUAUAAAGAGUUAUAAAAGAUAUUUAUGGAUGAUCUUCUACAAGUUACCAUAGUGGUACAGAAUCUCAUAUUUUAUAACACUCCCCCUUGGAUGAUCAUAAGAGUAUGCCCCAUUAAAAUCUUACUAAGAAAAACCCUAUGGGAAAAAACCUUAGUGAAGGAAAAAGAGUACAAUAUUCUUUUGGAUUACUACAACUACCUUGUUAAAAACCUUGUUAGUAAAACCCUAUGGGAUAAAACCUGGAUGAAGGAAAAAAGAGUGCAACGUAAUGACAUUCUUAUCAAUUAGCUCCCCCUCAUGUAGACAUGAUUAUAUUUUCUCUAAUAGCACAACAUAGAGAUCUUUGUAUAGACGUAUUCCAAUGAACUUCUUAAGUAUUGCAGUUGACAAUACCUUUGUGAAUAGAUCUACUAAAUUGUCACUUGAUCUUAUUCGUUGAAUAGUAAUUUUAUCACUCUUCUAGAGUUAAUGAAAGUAAAAGACUUAGGCAAUAUAUGCUUAAUUCUAUCACCCUCAAUGUAUCAUUCUUUAAUCUGUGCAGUGCAUGCAACAUUAUCUUCAAAUAAUAUUGUCGGGUCACCUUUGAUAGAGGAGAGUCCACAUGAUUCCCGAAUAUGCUGGAUCAUAGAUCUUAGCUAUAUACAUUCAUGAAUUGCUAGUAUUUCUAAAGGAUUUGAUGAUGUGACCACCAUUGUUUGUUUGACAGAUCUCCAUGAAACAAUAGUACCAUUGCAAUUAAACACGUACCCUGUUUGUGACUUACCUUUAUGUGAAUCUAAAAGAUAUCUUGCAUUUGCAUAUCUAAGCAAUUGUUGUUUUGAUUCCCUUGAGUAAAAUAAACCCAUAUUAGUAGUUCUGCGAAGAUAACGCAAUAUAUGUUUGAUACCAUUUCAAUGUCUUCGAGUUUGAGUGGAACCAUAUUUUGCUAAUAAAUUAACAGAAAAAGAAAUGUCUGAAUGUGUACAAUUGGCAAGAUACAUAAGUGUACCAAUAGCACUAAGAUAUGGUACUUUAGGACCAAGUAAUUCUUCAUCUUUUUCUCAAGGAUAAAACUAGUCUUUUUUCACAUCAAGUGAUCUAACAACCAUUAGAAAACUUAAAGGAUGCACUUUAUCCAUAUAAAAAUGUUUCAAAACUUUAUUAAUGUAUGUUGAUUGAUGUACUAAAACUCCAUUUGGAAAAUACUCGAUCUACAAACCGAGAUAAAAUUUUGUUUUUCCAAGAUAUUUCAUUUCAAAUUCCCACUUUCAAGUAAUUUGUUGUUCUUGUGAGCUCUUCAGGAGUUCCAACAAGAUUUAAGUCAUCAACAUAUACUGUAAUAAUUGCAAAUCCGGUUUCUGAUUUCUUAAUGAAGAUGCAUGGGCAUAUAGAGUUAUUCAUAUACCAUUUUUUUAGCAAGUAUUCGCUAAGGCGAUCGUAUCACAUGUGUCCAAAUUGUUUUAUUCCAUACAAUGAUCAUUUUAACUUGAUUGAGUACAUGUUACGAGGCUUUGUACAAUUUGCUUCAUGUAAUUUAAAUCUUUCAAGGAUUUUCAUGUAUAUAUCAUUAUCCAUGGAUCCGUAUAAAUAUGUUGUAAUAACAUCCAUGAGAUACAUAUCUAGUCUUUCUGGGACUGUCAAACUAAUUAAGAAACGAAAUGUGAUUGUGUCCAUGAUGGGAAAGAAUGUUUCCUCGCAGUUAAUCUCAGGUAUUUGCAAGAAAUCUUGUGCUACUAAUCGCACUUUAUAUCUUAUGAUCUUAUUAUUCUCAUUGUGUUUUCGUACAAUUACCCAUUUGUACCCAAUAAACUUUACAUCUUCAAGUGUUUGGACUACAAGUCUAAAAACUUCUCGUUUUAUUAAUGAGUUUAACUCUGCUUACAUAGCUUUUUUCCAUUUUGACUAAUCAUUUCUAUGUCAGCAUUCUUCCACAUUUCAUGGUUUGGGAUCUUCAUCAUUUCUUAUUAUAUUGGAAGCCACUUGGAAAGCGAAAAUAUUGUUAAUAACAAUAUUAUUUCGAUUCCAUUUUUCUCCUAUGUGCAUAACUUACUGAGAUCUCACAAUUUUCAUGUAUAUGUGCCUCUUCGAGGGCUUCUCGUUCAAUAUGUGCCUCUUCAAGGGCUUUUUGCAUUAUUUGUGCCUCUUCUGAUGUUAUAGAUUAUCAAUUUUAAACUGAUCAAUCAUUUUGAUGGUCUAUAUUAGAGUGUCAAGUUUUUCUUGGGUUCUCCUCUUUCGGGGAGUUAUAUCCUUUGAGCUGACAAGUCUAUCACGUAUUAGGCGUAUCUGAGAUUCAUUUGUUAAUUGUCCUAUAGGGACAUCAAUUCGUGUUGGAGUAUUUGCAACCAGGAUAUAUGACUUUGUCACUUUCUUUGUAUCAAUGAAUACAUCUGGUAAUUGAUUUGCAAGAUUUUGCAAAUAAAUAAUUUUUUAAACUUCCAAUUCACAUUGAUUGGUACGAGGAUCAAGAUAAGUCAAAGUCAAUGCAUUCCAAUAAUUUCUCGCCGUUCUUUUGGAGCUGGAUCUUCUUCUUGUAACAACGAGAAAAUUGUCUCAUUAAAAUGAUAAUAUGCACAACAUGUCAUUCUACCUUUUAAGUGUAUAGGUAGACUAGUCACUAAAUAAAAACUUUUGAUUUUAUAAUGUACAUCCAUACGACCUUUUAUCGUACGAGACCAAGUUGGUUUUACAAGAUUCUUGUGGAUCUAGCAUCGUAUAAAGUGUCAUUCACAUGGAAUCAAAUACUACUAGUGACAUAGUAUAAACUCUUUUGGAGCCUUUAAUCAGGUUUCUAUCACCUGAUAUAGUAUUGUUUGUCAUCAAUGUUGUGCAAUUAAUGAGACAAGUGUUUCAUCAAAGUAACAAGUCAUAAAACAUUGUCAUAAAUACCUCGUUUUUAUAGAGUUGAAGAAAUAUUAUCAUAGAGAAAGAGUUAAAAUCAAUGCAAAAAUAUUAGUCAUUGAUGAUGACUUAAUAAGUUGUAUAAAAGUAAUGAGAGCAUAUAUAACAUAAUAAAAUAUUCAAAUUUGUACAUAACUUUAAACUAUGAACUAUUUAUGUAUAACUUCUAGUUACACAAUAUAAUUAAAAAAAAUUAAAGAAAUUAAAAGUUAAUAACUUUCAUAGUUUUAGGCCAUGAUUAUUUUGUCAGAACAAAAAAAUAUUUAAAUUUGUAUAUAGUUUCAGGCUUUGAACUGUUUUUAUAUAAAUUUGUGCAUAACUUCAAAUUAUGAACUAUUCAUUUUACAACUUCCGACUAUAUAAUAUUAUUUGAUAUAACUUUCAGUUAUACCGUAUAAUUAAAAAUAAAUAAUUAAGGAUCAUAUACAUAACUUCUGGUCUUAUAUUUGUAAUUUUGUAAUUUUCCCCAUAACUUUUGAUUAUAAGGAUUACACAUAUUUUUCAUAACUUCUGGUUAUGAAUUUACCCUGUAAUUUAUAAUUUAUCCAAUAACUUCUAAUUAUAUGGAUUGUGCAUAUUUUUGUAUUCAAAUAAAAUUAGUGAAAAUAGAGAGUCAAUGGGUAAUAAAGUAGAAAAUAAUGAUAUAAAUUUAUCACAUACUUUUUUAUGAAAAAGAAGAAGGAAGAGUCUCUGUAUUUCUCUGAAGAGAAGAAAAUCUUUUUAUUUCUUUUGUUAUAAAAAAAGAAGAAGAAAACAAGAAAGAGAGAAUAAAAUGCAUGAAAAAACUUUUUUGAAUUUCAUUAGGGAUCUCUCUAUUUUAUAGGGAGUUACAAAAUAUAUUUAUGGAUAAUCAUCUAUAAGUUACCAUACUGGUACAGAAUCUCAUAUUUUAUAACAAAAUGUUAAUGAUCGAUAUUUUAAGUUUUUAAAGUUACCAUCAUAAAUUUUUAACUAAAAGUCUAGAUUAUCAUAAAAUAAGUAUAUAAAUUUUUAUAAAAAAUUAAAGAAAAAUCUUAUAUUAUUAUAAUAUAUUACUAUCUAUUAUAUAUUAAUAUAAUAUUAUAGGAUAAUAUAUUAUUAUAUUUAUUUAUAAAUAUUAUUCUAAUUUCCAAAAUUACCCUUAAAGUCUCCCAACCGGAUUUUUUUUUUCUCUUGGGGGUUUUGCAUGGAUUUUCUCGGAAAUCAAAUAAGGAUGAAUUUUCUCGGAAAACGAAUGGGGUGGGGGUUCAAUUUUUUUUUGUUUUCCUUGGGGGUUUUGCAUGAAUUUUCUCGGAAAUCAAACGAGGAUGAAUUUUCCCGGAAAACGAACAAGGAGGGGGUGGGGGCGAGGGGCAGCGCGACAGAUCCAGAAAACACAGGGAGCAAAAGAAAAAGCAAUUUUUUUUGUUUUCCUUGGGGGGUUUUUGCAUAGAUUUUCUUGGAAAUCAAACGAGGGUGAAUUUUCCCGGAAAAUGAAUGCGGGGAAGGGAGAUCCAAAAAACACGGGAGCAAAAAAUAAAAAAGCAAUUUUUUUGGUUUUCCUUGGGGGUUUUUGCAUGGAUUUUCUCAUAAAUCAAACGAUGGUGAAUUUUCCCGGAAAACUAAUGCGAGGAGAUCCAGAAAACAUGGGAGCAAAAAAAAAAAGCAAUUUUUUUGGUUUGCAUGGUUCCACAGAAAACGAAUGUGUGGGGAAGGGGGGCGACGACAAUAGAUCCAGAAAACAUGGGAGCAAAAAAAAAAAAAAGCAAUUUUUUUGGUUUGCAUAGUUCCCGGAAAACGAAUGGGGCAGUGAUGGAUACUGAAAACUCAGGGAGAAAAAAAAAGUAAAAAAAAAAAAACAUAUAAUAUUUCAUAAAUUUAAAAAAUAAAGGGUAAUUAUGAAAAUUAAAAUAUAAACAGUAAAUAAUGCAUGAAACCUAUAAUAUUUUUCUUAUUAUUAGUCAAAACCCAUAUUUGAGUUAUAUGGUUUCCAAAACCAUAUAUUUCUCGUAUGGAAACCUAUAAACAUAACUCCUUUUUUUUUUUGUUCGCCUCUUAGCCAGCCACCCUCUCGAAGUAUUUGUGCAGCAACGUGUCCUACCCUCGCAGCCUUACCUCUCUCUUUCCUCUAAUAGCCAUCUGUCAGGGCCCAUGCAUAGAUAUGGUUGAUUGGAUAGAAUAUGCUGUCUCCAAUCCAAGUGGUCCAAAAAAAAAAAAAAGUGAAAAAGGGGUUUAUAAAAAUAUGGUUGAUUUAUCUAUUUAUAAGUAUUAUUUAUUAAUUAAUAUUAUAUUUCAAUUUUUUUAUUUUAUAUAUUAUUUUAAUUAAUUUUAAGUUAUUUAAAAUAAAUAACUUACAAUUAUAUUAUUGUUUUUUAAUAAUGAAUAUAUAUAUAACUCUUAAAAUUAAUUUAAAUUAUUUCAUUAGUAAAAAAAUUAAUUCAUUCAUUGUCUUUAAAAAGAAUUUUUUUUUUUAGAUUUUAGUUAGAAGACUUGUAAAUUUUAUUUUUUUUAAAUUAAUAAUAAUAAAUAAUAUUAAAUUUCAAAAUUCUUAUUAAAAAAGUCAAAUGAUUAAAAGAUAUGUAUGGACCCCACAUUUCGGCUCAUGGGUUUCCCACUCGAUGGCGAUCUCGAUUUUUAUUUUGAAAAAUGAUUUUAUUUAUUAGAAAAUGACUUGGAGUCACCACUUAUUUUUGUUUUUAUUUUUAAAGGGUAAACAAAAUAAGAAAGAAAACCCUAAGUGUGACUCCUUACUUCGGAAAAGGUGGUCUGUGAAAAACCGGAUCGGGUUCGGGGGUCAGGUUACUUAUCGAGAAGCUACAGUAAAGACCGUAGCACCCUUCUAAGUCCCUAAAACGGGUCUCUACUAAUAAAAUGAAGCAAUCAUGACAAUUGAUUAAUCGAGCAUGGAUACCAAAUGAAUAUCACCCGAAACAAAAUAACUGAAUGAAUAGGAGAGACAAAGAAUGUACCUGAGUGAUGAUCUGACUUAUUUCAUGGAAAACAAAUGUUAGCAAUUAAACACAGAAUAAUCUUGUGUGUAUUAUAGAGUGGAAUAAAUCAAUCGCGCGUGACAAACAAAUCAAUAAAUAAAUCAAUCAAUCAUAAAAUCACGUAUGUGGGGCUCCCACCAAAGGCCGAUCUAUCUUGCACGAAUUAAUCCCACAAAUUCCAUUAAUCUGGAAUUAUGAAAAUUACAUUCAUGCUUAUGUAAAGUCGAGAGGAACAACAGAUUAUUUGAAAACUAAAGUGGAAUUAAAACAACUCGAGUGAAAACUGGAUUUUUAAAGUUUAUUUGAAAAUUGAAGUCCCGAAGAUUAUUUGAUAAUUGGAGUCUUAGGAAUUAAAUUUAAGAAUUGAAAUUUUAGAAAUAAAAUUUGAAAAUCGAAAAUUUUGAAGAAUUGUUUAACGGUGGAAUUUUAAAAUGAAUAAAUAAAAUAAUGAUGAUUAAAUAAAUUGAUGUGAAAAUUAAAAUUUUGAAACCUGAAAUUUAAAAUUAGAAAUCGGAAUUUUGAAGAGUUAUUUAAAGAUUGAAUUUUAAAAAUAAACAAAUGAACAAAAUGAUAAUGAUUAGAUGAAUUGGUAUGAAAAUUGGAAUCUCAUAAAUUGGGGUUUAAAUUUAGAAAUUGGAAUUUUGAAAAAAAUGUUUAAAAAUAGAAUUUUAAAAUAAAUAAAUAAAUAGAAUGAUAAUAAUAAAGAGAAUGAUGAUUAAAUGAAUAAGUGUGAAUAUUUGAAUUUUUGAAAUUGAAAAUUAAAUGUGGAAAUCGGAAAAUUUGAAUUGUCAACAGAUGAAAUUUUAAAGUGAAUAGUAGAAUUUUUUAAAUUAGAAAUUAAAUUUGGGAAUUAGAAUUUUUAAAGGAUUGUUAAUAAGUAAUUCAUUUUCUAAUAAAUAAAAUCAUUUUUCAAAAUAAAAAUCGAGCUUGCCAUCGAGUGGGAAACGCAUGAGCCGAAAUGCGGGGUCUAUAAUAUGAUAUAAAUCAUUAUUAAUUAUUAAAAAUUAAUAACUUAAAAUUAAUUUUUAAAUAUUAAAUUAUUAAUAUUUAAAAAUUUUAUCAUUAGAAUUAUCAUAAUAAAUUUGAAUUUCGUAAUAGUAAUAAAUGAAAGACUAAAAGUAAAAUAAGUAUAAAUAAAAAAUUUAAGGCUUUGCCAAACAUAAUGAAAAAAAAAGUUAAUUACUCUUAAAAAUAUUUUUUCAAACAUUAAAUGAUAUUUUUCAAAUUUCUUAGAAUUAUUAUAAUAAUUUUAAGUUAGAAAAUUUUAUUUGAAUUAAAUUUUCGGUCAUUAUGAAAAAUAAGAAAAAAAUAAAUUUACAUGUGAGUUUCAAUUUUUAUCCGACAUAAAAAAAUUAAAUAUAUAUUUUUAAAUAUUAAAUUAUUGAUAUUUUAUGAAUUUAAUAUCUGGAGUGAUAGUGAAUGAGAAAAAUAUAAAAAAAUAGGAUUAUAAAAUUAUAAAAUAAAUAAAUCAACAUCAUAUCAUUGACCCACAUGCACCAUUAGUUUCAUAAAGUAACUAAAGCUACUUUAAAAUUUCAUUUUUGUUACGUGUCUGAUUUUCCAUGCCAUAAAUUUCCUGGGAAUUCAUCCUUAAACUCAUUUGAAUUUAUAAAAAAUAAUUUAAUGAAAAAGGAAAAAGAAAGGAAAAGUAAUGCGCAUGAACGUACCUUCGUGUUGUUGAACAUGCAAAGCUUCUCCUCUUUAAAAACCUCCCUUAAACCCCUCGCUCCAACUCAUUCAAUUCAGAGUAAAGCGAACCAGCCAUUGCUACAGAGCGAAUCCAUGGAUUCUUCGUCUCUUCUCCUCUUGUUGUUGCUGGGUUUCUUUUGUUUUUCUGAGUUCACAUCCCAUGAUCAACUUAUUCCAAAAGAUGAAGGUAUCACCACUGUAAUCUCACUUGUUCUUUCCAUUUCUGGGGAAAAUGAAACUUGGGUUUUGUUGUUAAAGAAAUUUGGGGAGAAAGAGAAGUAAAUUUGGUUUCGGAACGUGGGUUUUUUCGAGGUAUCUGUGCUUUGUUUAAUACUUCACUGCUAUAAUUUUUUGGAAUCUUGUGGAUUUCUCAUGGUUUGCGAGAAUUUUGACAUCUCUGUUUGUCUCACAGUUGUUUAAAUUUUAUCAUGCUCUGGGAAUUCUUAUGGAAACAGAAAAGCAGGCAUAUCAAAUUAUGUUUUAUUUUCUUUUUCAAAUUUUCCUCUGCUUUCUCUGCUACCAAACGUUGGCUUAUAUCAUUCUGCUGGAAAAUUGUUCGUGCCUCUGAGCCAUAGCGAAUUUUUGAUCUGAAACGAUAGGCUAUAUUUGGUUACCGGGAAAUAAGAAAUUUUAAAAUAUAUAAAAUUUUAAUUAAUUUAAUUAUUUUUAUUUUCUUUCAUAUUUAUACACUUGAAAACAAAUGUGAGAAAAAAGAUUUGAUAUUAAUUACUUUGAAUAGCUUUUGGAUAGAGUCCAGAGUUAUCAAUCCAUCAGUGGACAAAGAAAAAUAUUUAUAUUUGUAUUUAUUACCAUGGUGGCAAAUUCCAUUUUAUUAAGGAAAAUACAUAUGUUUAUUUUAGUAUUUCGACUUUAUUUACAUUGAAUUAUUACCUAUAUUGUCAGUGUUAAAGUAUAUUGUAUUGUGGGCUCUAGGCCCAGUUAGGUUACUUGUAUAGUACUUGUACUAUACACUUGUACUACACCUUUGUACUGCACCCUUGUACUACAUAUACAUGCCUCCUAUAUAAAGGCACUGAUGUAUACUCUUUUAAUCACAGAAUAGAAUACAAUUAUUCUAUAUUUCUAACAUGGUAUCAGAGCCACUGCUCUGACCUUUGUUUUUUUUUUUUUUUCUUAGCAGUCUUGUCUUCAUUAGUGUGACUUCUUUUCACUAAGCGCUUCCGCCAUCACAACUGCCGCUGUAGCCUCUUGUCGUUGAACCUCCGACGUCAUCCAGCCGUCAUCCCUGGGUUCCGGACCUGCAACCGCAGUCAUUAAGAAGUCUCACACUGCACAGACCACUGCCCUUUGCAUCACCGCUGCGAAUAUUGCUCCGAUUUCACUUUCGAAGGUACCACUGAGAUCGUCCAGCGCCGAUCUACACAUUCGUGGAUAUCUCAUCGCCAUCGGAGACCGCACGCGCCCCCACGCGCCGCUCAAAGAUUCUGCGGCGCCUCCACACGCCUCCACGUGCCUCCACGCGCUGCCACGUCAGCCCUAGCUCGUCAGGCCUCCACGCGCUGCCACGUCAGCCCUAGCUGCGUCAGCAUCCACUGAUCUGUUGACGUCAUCUCCAGUCGUUGACCGUUGACCGUUGACCAGACGUUGACCGUUGACCAGCUGUUGACCGAGCGUUGACUUUGACCGUUGACCGGACGCUGACCGUUGAGCAGCUGUUUCACGAGCGUUGACUUUGACCGUUGACCAUCCCGUUGACUUUUUCCCGGGCCAGGUUCUCCUUACUCAGUUUUUCGCAUAGAUUUCAUUUCUGCAGUCGGUUUUUUUGCCUACUGUGUCCCUAAAUGGAUAAGAAGGAUGUUUUUCUUCCUCGCCCCAUCCAUACUGUAUUGGAGGGGACUAAAAAUUACUUAUCCUGGUCUCAAGCUAUGCGCAGUUUUCUUAAGAGCCGCAUGCUCUGGCAUUAUUGUACUGGUGCAAUGACUAUUCCUGUCAAAGGAGCAAGUGAAGAAGAUGCUGUCUUUCUUAGUCGCAUGAUUGAAUGGGAUAGUCAUAACCACAUGAUUCUCACAUGGAUCCGGAACACUUCCAUUCCCUCUAUUUCCAACCUAUUGGGCAGCUUUGACGAUGCAAAAUCUGCAUGGGAUAUGUUGACCAAAAGGUACUCCACUACUCAUGGAUCCAUGAAAUAUCAGUUAGUGGUUGAAUUGCAUCAACUCAGGCAAGAACCGGGGCAAUCCAUCAAUGACUAUUAUGAUCAGCUUCGGUUCAUUUGGGACCAAAUUGACCUUUCUGAUCCAAUUUGGGAAUGCUCAAAAGAUGCUCAACAAUAUGCUUCCAUUAGAGAUGAAUUUCGCCUCUAUGAAUUCUUGAUGUCACUUCACAAGGACUUUGAGCCCAUUCGUGGUCAGCUACUAAAUCGCAGUCCUGCUCCCUCUCUUGAUACUGCUGUGAAUGAGUUGGUUAGAGAAGAAGCUCGUCUUGCAACCCUUCAAGCCCAGAAUAAGCUCAAUAUUUUGGCCAUUACUCCAUCUACUCCACUCAUAGAGCAACCUCAGCAAUUAGGUGAUUUUUCUGGCUCUAACAAUCGUCGCAAGCAAAACAACAAGAAGUUCUGCAACUAUUGCAAGCGUCCUGGCCACACCAUUGAGACUUGUUACCAUCGUAACAAAUCUACUGCUGCUUGAGCACAACAAACUUGAGCCUCGAUCUAGACUCUGUUGUUUUCUUGGUUAUGGCGAAACUCAAAAGGGGUAUAGGUGUUAUGAUCCUGUUUCUCAUCGUCUUCGCGUUUCUCGUAAUGUUGUCUUUUGGGAACAUCGAUUGUUUGUUGAACUCUCUCACUUUCGUUCUUCCUUGACUAACUCCUCUGUUUUAGAAAUCUUUCCCGAUGAGUCUUCUGCAAAUACUCUUGAUCUUCAUUUAGACUUCUCUCCAGAUAUCUUUGAUGCUUCUCCUAGACAGGUUGCAGAUGAACAGAUUAUUCACGAGCUACCCCACUUUGAGCCUGGGUCCCCUGCUCCUGCUCUGCCUGAAGAUCCUCCACAAGACAUUCCACCUCGCCACUCAACCCGGGUAAGAUCCAUUCCUCCACACCUCCUUGACUAUCAUUGUUACACUGCCCUUGCUACACUUCACGAGCCUCAAACCUAUCGUGAGGCCUCUACUGACCCUUUAUGGCAGAUUGCAAUGAAAGAGGAACUUGAUGCAUUAACCAAAAAUCAUACUUGGGACCUGGUUACUCUCCCUCCUGGACAGUCUGUGGUUGGUUGUAAGUGGAUCUAUAAGAUCAAGACUCGCUCUGAUGGAUCCGUUGAGCGCUAUAAGGCUCGUUUUGUUGCCAAAGGUUUUACACAAGAGUAUGGGAUUGAUUAUGAAGAGACGUUUGCUCCAGUUGCUCGUAUCUCAUCUGUUCGUGCUCUCUUAGCUGUUGCUGCUGCUCGUAAAUGGGAUCUUUUUCAGAUGGAUGUUAAAAAUGCCUUCCUUAAUGGGGAUCUGAGUGAAGAAGUCUAUAUGCAACCUCCUCCUGGUCUCUCUAUUGAAUCAAACAAAGUUUGUCAUCUUCGACGUGCACUUUAUGGUCUCAAACAAGCCCCACGUGCUUGGUUUGCCAAGUUCAGCUCCACUAUUUUUCGCUUGGGUUACACCGCCAGUCCAUAUGAUUCUGCCUUAUUUCUUCGUCGUACUGAUAAAGGCACUAUUUUGCUUCUUCUCUAUGUGGAUGAUAUGAUCAUAACUGGUGAUGACCUUAGUGGCAUUCAAGAACUCAAGGAUUUUCUCAGUCAGCAGUUUGAGAUGAAAGAUCUUGGACAUCUCAGCUAUUUCUUGGGUCUUGAAAUUACUCAUUCCACAGAUGGUCUUUAUAUUACUCAAGCCAAGUAUGCUUCUGACCUGUUGUCUCAAGCUGGGCUCACUGACAGCAAAACAGUUGACACUCCAGUUGAACUUAAUGCGCAUCUGACACCCUUGGGGGGGAAACCAUUGUCUAAUCCUUCUCUUUAUAGACGAUUGGUUGGCAGCUUAGUUUACCUCACAGUUACUCGUCCAGACAUCUCCUAUGUUGUUCAUCAGGUGAGCCAGUAUUUGUCUGCUCCACGAUCAACUCACUAUGUUGCUGUUCUGCGCAUUCUUCGAUACCUGAAGGGUACUCUUUUUCAUGGCCUUUUCUACUCAGCUCAGUCUCCUCUUAUACUCCGUGCAUUCUCAGAUGCUGAUUGGGCAGGAGAUCCUACUGAUCGCAGGUCCACUACAGGUUAUUGCUUCCUCCUUGGUUCUUCUUUGAUUUCUUGGCGAAGUAAGAAACAAACCUUUGUGGCCCGCUCCAGUACUGAAGCAGAAUAUCGUGCCCUUGCUGAUACCACAUCUGAGCUCCUUUGGCUAAGAUGGCUUCUUAAGGAUUUGGGUGUAUCCACCUCCUCUGCUACUCCUCUUUAUUGUGACAACCAGAGUGCUAUUCAUAUUGCUCACAAUGAUGUCUUUCAUGAACAGACUAAACACAUCGAGAUUGAUUGUCAUUUUAUCCGUUAUCAUCUUCUCCAUGGUGCUCUUAAGCUUUUCUCCGUCUCCUCCAAAGAUCAACUUGCAGAUAUCUUCACCAAGUCUCUUCCUAAGAGACGCACUCGUGAUUUAGUUGACAACCUCAAGUUGGUCUCAUAUCCACCUUGAAGUUGAGGGGGGCUGUUAAAGUAUAUUGUAUUGUGGGCUCUAGGCCCAGUUAGGUUACUUGUAUAGUACUUGUACUAUACACUUGUACUACACCUUUGUACUGCACCCUUGUACUACACAUACAUGCCUCCUAUAUAAAGGCACUGAUGUAUACUCUUUUAAUCACAUAAUAGAAUACAAUUAUUCUAUAUUUCUAACAGUCAGGAAAUGGUAGAAAAAGAAGGAAAAGGAACAGUACCAUGUCCACUUGAAUUGUCAGACCAUAUUGAAGUCAUCUCUGAGUCAGUCCCAGGUCCACUUGCUAGACUUUGGGCCUACCUGAAUUAAUCUUUAGGCCCACCAAUUUGUCUUGAUUCCAUGGUUGCGUGGAAUAAGGAGAUCGGGUUGCGUGUGGAAAAUUGGAUGAGUUACGGAUUGUUGUUGAUUGGUAGUGUCAGUGUGAUAUCAACUGGUCUUCAAUAUCAAAGGCAGAAGAAGAACGUCGAUAUGGACAGGUCUUGACCAUAUGAAAUGCAUAUUUUUGGACUAAAUACAUUUGCCCUUGUUUGCAAUUGUUUUUGAAAAUAAUUAUGAAAAAUAGGCCGUAUUUGUCAAUUGUUUUUUUUUUUAAAACAUUUUUUUUGUUCUUUAGGAAAAAAUGAAAAAGAAAAUAUGUUUUACAACCAAAAAACAAAAAAUGAAAAAUAAAUUUAUGUUAUUAAAAACUAAAAAUAAGAUAUUUUUAGAAAAUAUCUUUUAUUGACUUCACUUAUUUUCGUUUUAUAAAAAUUAAUUAUACAAAUAUAAAAAUUUAAAGCAAUAUAGAUAAAAAUUAUUUUAAAAAUAUAAAAAAAAAUAUGUCAACGGUUUAGUUCUUAAAGAUACUUUUGUACUACAAAAUAUUAUAAAACAAUUUUGAGAAAUAAUUUUUCGAAACUAUUUUCGAAAACACUUCCCAAAUAAAGCUUAGCUUUUGAAAACUAUUUUAUAAUGAUUUGUUAGAACAAAAUUUUGCUUUGAAACUUAAAACAUUUUAAACCGGUUUUCUAUGUUUUGAAAAAUAGUUUUUGUAAAACAAAAUUUUGUUUGGGAAUUUAAAAUAAUCUAAAUCUAUUUUUUAAAAUAACUUUUAUAUAUAGUGCUUCGUUUUAAUCACUCUCCAUAUUUGUAUAAUUGUUUUUUAAAACAUCUCUAAAAAAGCAAUUAAAAUCACCUUAAAGAUGUUAUAAAAAAAUACCAUAUUUUUUGUUUUUUUGAUUGUCAAACACGUUUUUUUUUUUUUUUUUUUUUAAUUCUUGAAAACAUAGACAAGCAACUUACAUGGUGCGUCAAAGGAGAGGUCAUAUGCAAUUAAAAUUUAAUGUAGUAUAAAUUAUUGUCUUGUUUUAGUAGAGGUUUGGCUGAGUAUCAUCAAUAGUGCUUUAAAAUUUGGUAAUAUUAGAAGUCACUUUAAGAUUGAAAUUAAUUGUAGAGGAUUACACUUCAUAGAGUUGUUAUUAUUAGUCAUUCUUUUUUUUGUACAUUUAUAAAUCCUUAUAAAUGAUCAUUUUGUAUCUACUCUGUAACAGUGCAAACUCUUAAAACAAUAUCCACAAAGCUUAACAACAAAUAUUGGAACAUAAGCCAAGCCUCAUGCAAUGGAGGUUUCAAGCGAGCCAUCGAUGAGAAUAACUACAGCAAUGUCACAUGCAACUGCACCUUCAACGAAGGAACUAUUUGCCAUGUCACAAACAUGUAUGAUUUUCUUUUCUUGUUCUUCCCUAACAUAAUACAUAUAUAAAAAAUUCAAUCCAUUAGAUUAAUGGAAAAGUAAUUGCAUGAGUAUAUGGAAUGGAAUAUUAGUUGCUUAAUGUUAAUAGGAAAUAAUUAAUGACAUCUUUGGAUUACAUAGGCAUUAUUUUUCCUUUCUAUCUCUUUGUAGGGCCUGUGAUUUGUGUGCUUUGGUAAAUUCCCAUUGCAUUCAUAGACUAAAACCUUGUUUUCAUGCAAAAUGAAUUGCCCAAAGUCUAGUGAAUGAAAGCCUUGUCUUUGUUUUAUAUUGAUUUAGUUUCGAUUUGUUGAACCUGAUAUGCAAAUGCCUUAUUUCCAUAUCAAUUAACAUUUGUUGGUGAGCAAUUAAUUUUGUCACUAAAGAGAGUAUUUGUUUUUUUGGCUUUUUACUAAAAGUAAUUUGUUUUCAGAAUUUAGAUUGUUUAUUUUUCUACUUUUUUGGACUAAAAUACAUGAAAUGCAUAUUUUGGACUAAAAUACAUGUACCAAAAUAGGCCGUAUUUUGUCAAUUUUUUAAAAAAAUAUUUUUUUGUUCUUCGGGAAAAAAUGAAUAAGAAAAUGUGUUUUACAAUUAGGAAAAAAAAAGGAAAAUAAAUUUAUGUUUUUAAAAAUUAAAAAUAACGUAUUUUUAGAAAAUAUCUUUUCGUAUUUUCAUUUGUUUUCUAAUGAUCAUUUUAAAAACUAAUUAUACAAAUAUAGAAAAUAAUUAAAAAUAAAGUGUUACAAAUAAAAAUUAGUUUUAAAAUAUAUUUAAAAAUAUAAAAAAUAUGUUAAAAACGUUUAAGUUCCUAAAGAGAUUUUUGUACUACAAAAUAUCAUAAAAGUUUUUUGAAAAACUAUUUCUCAAAACUAUUUUUGUAAACACUUCCCAACCAAAGCUUAGUUUUUGAAAAUUAUCCUACGAUGAUUUGUUAAAACAAAAUUUUGCUUUUGAACUUAAAACAUUUUUAACCUUUUGAAAAAUAGUUUUUCUCUCAUGUUUUGUAAAACAAAAUUAUGUUUGAAAAUUUAAAAUAUUUUAAACCUAAUUUCCAUUUUUAAAAUAACUUUUAUAGUGCUUCGUUUUAACCACUCUCCAUAUUUAUAUAAUUAUUUUUUAAAACAUCUCUCAGAAAACAAUUAAAAACAUCUUAAAGAUGUUUUUAGAAAAUACCAUAUUUUUCUAUUUUUUGAUUGUUAAACAUGUUUUUUUAUUCUUUUAUUCUUGAAGACAAAGGCAAGUUGGUCAUUCAUGUAGCUUACAUGGUGUGAUCACUUCAAAGGAAAGGUCAUAUGCAAUUAAAAUUUAAUGUAGUAUAAAUUAUUGGCUUGUUUUAGUAGAGGUUUGGCUGAGUAUCAUCAAUAGUGCUUUAAAAUUUGGUAAUAUUAGAAGUCACUUUAAGAUUGGAAUUGGUUGUAGAGGAUUACACUUCAUAGAGUUGUUAUCAUUAGUCAUUCUUUUUCUAUAUAUUUAUAAAUCCUUAUAACUGAUCAUUUUGUAUCUACUUUGUAAUAGUGCAAACUCUUAGAACAAUAUUCAAAAAGCUAAACUACAAAUAUUGGAACAUAAGCCAAGCUUCAUGCAGUCGAGAUUUCAACCGAACCAUCGAUGAUAAUAGCUACAGCAAUGUCACAUGCAACUGUACCUUCAAUGAAGGAACUGUUUGCCAUGUCACAAACAUGUAUGAUUUUCUUUUCUUGUUCUUCCCUGACAUGAUACAUAUAUCAAAAAUUCAAUCCAUUAGAUUAAUGGAAAAGUAAUUGCAUGAGUAUAUGGAAUGGAAUAUUAUUUGUUUAAUGUUAAUAGGAAAGAAUUAAAGACAUCUUUGGAUUACAGAGGCAUUAUUUUUCCUUUUUAUCUCUUUGUAGGGCCCUUUGAUUUUUGUGCUUUGGUAAAUUCCCAUUGCAUUCAUGGACGAAAACCUUGUUUUCAUGCAAAAUGAAUUGCCCAAAGUCUAGUGAAUGAAAGCCUCGUCUAUGUUUUAUAUUGAUUCAGUUUCGAUCUCUUGAACCUGAUUUGCAAAUGCCUUGUUUCCAUAUCAAUUAACAUAUGUUAAUGAGCAAUUAAUUCUGUCAUUAAGUCCACUUUCUAGUGGCUGAAUGAAAUGGCCCAAUGCAACUAGAGCUUUCUUGUGGAUUUUCACUUGGUCAUAAUGCCAGAGUGCUAAAGGGUAAAUGUUGGUUCCCACACUAUUCGAUCAAAGCUUCAAAUGAUUGUUUACAUUGAUUAUUAGGUUUCCUGUCAUAACUUUGACCUUUUCCACUUUUCAAGAUAAAAUUGAAUGUCUAUUUUUUAUUAUACAUAUUAUAAUAUAUGGUUAAAAGAACACUUUGCAGAUCAAUCUAUAAAAGAUUUGAAAUGGUUUGAUUCCUCAAUUGAAUCAAUAGUAUCUCUAGAGUCUGCUUCUUCUCAAUGCUAUGCGUACAAAGAGAAAAAGUAAGAACUAUCAUUAAAGCAGUCCAAGCAAGACUUAGAGUGCGCUUGAUAAUGUUUUUAUUUGAAGUAUUUUUAGUUUAAGUGUUUUUAAGAGAAUUACCUAUCAAAUACUUCUCCAAAAAGUACUACUAGUGAUUUUUCAAUUUUUUAAAAGUAUUUGUCGAAUUUUGUCAAACACCUAAUUUUUCUUUACAAAUGCCUUUUAUGCUAGAAGUGCUUUCUCAAAUAGUGGAAUCAAUAGCAUAAGUCAAAAAAGGAUAAUGACCCAACACCAUUGAUGAACCAAUCCUAUAAAUCCACUUAUGAUAAAACAAGUGAUUUUAAGGGAAAUGUAGUUUUAAGGGAUUUUAAUAUUAUGGAAAAAGCUGAAGGUGCCGGUAAAGGCAUUUGUAGGGAUUUUGAUGCUUGUGUUGAUGGUAGCACUCUGGAGAUCCACUUAUACUGGAUGGGCAAAGGGACUAAUUCCAUUCCGGAAAAAGGUGUAUAUGGACCUCUUAUAUCUGCUAUUGCAGUGACACCAAGUGAGCUUAUCUCAUAUUCCGGGCUUUACUACUUCUCUUGCCACUAGCUUGUCAUGAUGUUUUAUAUCUUACUGUUCUUGUAGAAUUCAAUCCCAAGCCGGCGCUGUCUGUUGGAGGUAUCAUCGGCAUUGUGAUAGUUUCAUGUGUGGUCCUCAUAUUGAUUUUGGUACUCCUACGAAUGAAAGGCUACUUAGGAGGAAAAGACCUUGAAGAUAGAGGUGAGAUUAAUCAUGCAGGAAAUUUGAGACUGUAAUGCCUUACCUCUUUGAAAUAUUGACAAUACUUUGGAAAUAUUUGGAACUCUCUGUGCUUGUUUUUCACCAAUUUUAUUUCACUUGUUACAGAACUACGUGAGCUAGGGACUGGUUAUUUUAGUUUACGACAGAUCAAAGCUGCUACCAAUAACUUUGACUCUGCAAAUAAGAUUGGUGAAGGUGGAUUUGGGCCAGUUUACAAGGUAGUUACAGAUUUGGAUUUUCCUUUAACAACUGUAUGCUAAAGCAGUGAUUAAGAGGGAAAUGCAAUACUUUUCUGCAGCUAUCUCACAUCCUUACAUUAUCUGAAUUCAUGAUCCAAAAUUUUGUCCUGCUUGAUCUUAGGGUGUACUGUCAGAUGGUUCAGUAAUUGCUGUUAAGCAGCUCUCUUCUAAAUCGAAGCAAGGGAACCGAGAAUUUGUAAAUGAAAUAGGCAUGAUAUCUGCCUUACAACACCCAAAUCUUGUGAAGCUUUAUGGCUGUUGUAUUGAAGGGAACCAGUUGUUGCUCAUAUACGAAUAUUUGGAAAACAAUUGUCUUGCACGUGCACUUUUUGGUAAAUGCUUCACUAGAAUUUUGUAUUUCAUUUUAUUAUAUUUCAACAAUGAAUAUUAUGACUUAAGCCUCUCCCUGGACCACUUGUAGGUCGAGAUGAACAGCGGCUAAAUUUGGACUGGCCAACUAGGAAGAAGAUAUGCUUGGGGAUAGCAAGGGGAUUGGCAUAUCUUCAUGAGGAGUCAAGAUUGAAAAUUGUUCAUAGAGAUAUAAAGGCAACAAAUGUGCUGCUUGAUAAGAAUCUAAAUGCUAAGAUAUCCGACUUUGGCUUGGCUAAGCUGGAUGAAGAUGAGAACACCCAUAUCAGCACACGGAUAGCUGGAACGAUGUGAGUGUUUUUGCUCAUUUCCUCCUUUUAUUAGCUUCCCUAUAUCAAAUUUGUAUAUGAUAUAAGAUUAUGACUUUGGCACUGAAAAUGUGGAGAUUAAUUUCUUCUAUGCAUUUGAAUCUAUGUCAGAUAAAUAAAAAAAUUGAUACAGUGAGAUGGAACUGACCUUGAUUGAUGGAAAACUUAAUGAAAUGCUCAAGUAUGGAAUUUCCAACUAGCAGUUGUUUUUUCCAUUUUAGGUUUAAAAAGCUCAUUUACUUCAUUGUUUAUUCUGUAAAGUCGAUUAUUGAAACAGUUCUAGAAAGGUCCAACUAUUAUUGAGAAUUUGUUGCUACAAAAUUAUCCUAAGUUGUCAUAUGAACCUCAAAAGCAAUUGGGGUGAUCCUCUUUUUGUGGUUUUGGAGAAGCAGAAUUUAGUUAGACUGUCGAGUUUCUGAAGUGGGUUUCAUGCAUAUCCAGAAAAUUUUUCCUCUCAAACAUGGUUGAUUAGUUCUUCUUGUCCUCUUUCUAACAAUAAUUUUGUGCAUAUAUUGGUUAUAUGUAUAGCACAAAACUCACCACUGAGUCGCUGAUUUUUCUUCAGAGGACACAUGGCUCCUGAAUAUGCAAUGAGGGGUUACUUGACGGACAAAGCUGAUGUUUACAGCUUUUGGAAUUGUUGCUUUAGAGAUUGUCAGCGGGAAAAGCAACACCAAUUACAGGCCAAAGGAAGAGUUUGUUUAUCUUCUUGAUUGGGUAAACAAUGGAUUCUUGCUCAUCCUUUUUGCUUUAUUUUUUCUGACCAUAUGUGCUUAUAAUGAAAAACGUGUUUCGGGUUCUACAUUGGACUGCAGGCUUAUGUCCUGCACGAGCAGGGAAAUCUUCUGGAGCUGGUGGAUCCAAGUCUUGGUUCAAACUUCUCAGAGGAGGAGGUGAUGAGGAUGCUGAACUUGGCCCUCUUAUGCACCAACCAAUCUCCCACUCUCAGGCCACCCAUGUCCUCUGUAGUGAGUAUGCUUGACGGCAAAAUUGCAGUCCAAGCACCAACAAUCAAGCAUGAUUCUAUGAACCCGGAUAUGAGAUUCAAAGCCUUCGAGAAGCUCUCACUGGACAGCCAGUCUCAUGUCUCAGCAUUCUCUGUAGACAGUCAGGUCCAAGGCAGCAUAUCACUUGAUGGACCAUGGAUUGAUUCCUCAAUUUCCCUCCAUAGCAGAGAAGAAACAAGGGACUUUUCUUCAUCAAGCAAGCUUCUUACAGGACACCAAGAUCUUUACAGUAUACAUUUGGACUGAUCAGUGAAAAUAUGGUAUACUAAUAAUACUUCCAAGUUGUUCUUGCUUGAAGUUUUCUGCAAGAAUGUUUUCUGAAAACUAUUUCGAAUUGAUUCUUGAAGUAGUAGACGCAUAAAUAAGUAUGUUUUGUUGUAUAAUUACAAUAUUUGUAUAAAAUUAUGAGAAUAAGUGCUCCGGUUGAGGCUUGAUGAAGAAAAAUAUUUAUAUUUCUUUAUUUUUCCAACUUACUCCCAUGACGGUAACUCAUCAUUCCCCAGAGAGAAAUCAGUAUAUAUUUAUUUUAUUUUGUUCAACUUUAUUUCCAUUUUAUCAUCAUUGGUCAUGUAUCCAAAAAAGUUGAUAAACAAAAGGGAAUAAAAGGUUUUACUCUAUUGGGCUUGAGCCCACUUGAAUUAUCAGACCAUACCAAAUCCAAAGCCCAUUUUCUAGGCUUUAGGCCCAACUGAAUUAACUGCGACCCCACCAAUUUGUCUUGGUAUGAUGUGGAAUGAGCAUCUCUACUCUAUUGGGGUUUGGGCCCACUUGAAUUGUCACAUUGUUGAAGCUAACUUUGACUCAGUCCAAUGCCAACUUGUUGAGCUGUUCGCCUACUUGAAUUGAGCGGGAGGCCCACCAAUUUUUAUUGAUUUUGAGAUUCGAAGAAAUAAUGGUGACAACUAACAUGUGAGAAGAUGAUGUUUUUGUGGUAGAAAAUCAGAAAACUCCUUAGGGUUCUUAGACAAUCAAAGACAUUCAAUGGCACUUGGAAGUUUUUGGUCAAUAAAAGAGUUAUAGGGUCAUUGAUUGGAGCCAAAAUAUGUGCUCUAAUGACACAUAUUCUAUAUGAUUUGUGCACCAAAGGACAUUCAAAUCACCCAACUUGACCUAAAUCAAUGCUAAGACCCUAGCCAUGAGUUUAAUUUGUACUUUGGAGACUUAUCUUAGGUUCAAGGGAAGAAAAUGGUGCAAGUUGAAUCACUUUAGAUUUUGAAAGAUCAAGAAAGGGUUAAAAGAGGAAAUAAAUGAGUCAAGACUCAUGGACCGUAAGAAAAGGCAAGACGAGGAUAUCAUGCAUUUGGAAGAUGAGAAAUGGCCAUUAUGGAGUAAGAAAGAAAGGCAAGAAAGCAUGGGAAAUGAGGCAUGAAGCAAGAUUCAGCUGCAUGAAAAUUUAGAACUCAAAAAUCUGAUGACAUUAUAUACUCUGACUUCGAGAACAAAUUUAGAGCACUUUAUGGAGUCCAUUGUAUACAUACUAUAUAUCGUUUUGAAGCUUGGGAAGUCAGAAAUCCAACGCUCAAACAGUGUGCAAAUCGGAGCUGAAAUGAAGAAGUUAUGGUCAUUUGAAGACAACUGCACCAAGUUAAAGGGUCAUUUCGAAAUGAUUUCGAAAUUCAACUUAUGAAUUCGAAAUCCACUUCGAAAUGACACCAAUUUUGAAUUCACCCACUACCACUUUGAUGAUCCGCCUCCUUUACCCCGGGAAUUGCAUCUAUUCAACUUAUGAAUUCGAAAUCCACUUUGAAAUGACACAAAUUUCGAAUUCACCCACUGCCACUUUGAUGUUUCACAUCCUCUACCUCGGGAAUUGCAUCUAGGGCACUCCAUCUGCCCAAAAUGGACCCCACACGACUAGAAAUCACCAUUUUAUUAUUUUUUAAUCAUUUUUAGGAAUUUAUUUUGUAAUAAGUGGCCAAUGAGAGUGUGCCACAUGUUAGGUAAUUGAUGGUAUUAUAUAAACUCUCUCAAUUCUAGGUUUUAGGGAUCUUGGAUUUCUUUUUCUGGAGAGUUUGACACUGAAGGUGGAAGAAGACGAGAACUUUGGUUUGUUUUUUUUUUCUUCUUUAUUGAAUAUAUUGUUUUUAGUUUCUUUUUAUUCAAAUUAUGGAUUUUUACCCUAUUAUGGAUUGUGAAUGUGACAUCACCCCCAUGAGAGGCUAAGAGCCAACUUGGGACUUGAAGCAUGAAAACCUAAGGGCUAGGAAACCUAUAAGGACAAUGGGUAAAUUAUUAUAACAAUGAGAUUAAUUAUUGGUUGGGUGACAAUUUAUCAUUUUUUUUUAAUCCUAUCCUUGUGAGUUCGUUUAGGUAAUGAUACGGUAGGUUAUUACUUGAUAUUAGUGAUUCUUGGUAAUUCUUGAUCAUUAGUUAUCCUCGUUUUACCUACCAUUAUUUGCCCCUAAACAAAGCUAUAAGGAGUAGGAAGGGUUAAAAAGCCAAAUCUUAAAUUGACAAUCAAUCUCAUUCAUUUGAUGGUUUUAGGAAUCUGUUUUAAAAAGGAAAAAUUAGGUUUCUGAUGCAAUUUUGAGUUAUAGAUUUCAACUUGAUCGCGAGUGGCCAAGGAUCCCAAAACCCUAAGAUCAUAUUACUUAAAAUACCCUUGUUUUCUCUAAUUUCUAUACCCUAGGUUGGAUUGUGGAAAACCCCAAACUUAAAUCAAUUGAAUUUAAAAUCAAUAUUCAUUUUUUCUUAUUAAUUUAAUUUCUUUUACUUAGUUUCACAUUAUUCACAUAUUGUUUUUCACUUAAGGAUUUAAACAAAAACAAUUCAUUUAUUCUAGUAUUGACAAUUUUCAUAAGCCAGUCCUUGAGAACGAUACCCGGAAUAUUACAAAGCCAUAGUGACUCUUUCUAUAGUUUUUCUUGACCAGAGUUAUUACGUAAAAUGACUAAUUAUUUUGGUACAAUAGAGAAUUUCGGUCAGUCAUAUAUCAAAAUUCUUUAGAGAAUUAAGUUUUGCCCUCUCACAUCUUCCUUGAAUGGUUUUGUUAGGUAACAACAGUUUGUUAUAUUUCAUUGCUUUCAAUUCAUUAAUUAACACGAGCUUUGACUCUUGAAAGUGGGUCAAUGUGUUAAGUAUUAGCUUACUUAAUAGACAUCAUACAUUGAAAUAUGAUAUUAUUGAUUGGCUCAAAUAUUUAAGUGUUUCAUUUCUUCUUAGCAACUUUGAAUGAGGAGGAGGGGUGAAAUGUUUGAAGAAUUGCAAUAGUUAAGGGUCCUUUUCUCGUAUGGGCAAGGGAUAAGAUCCCACAGACACAACCUCAGUGAAUGUUAUUUUCUAGAACAUUUUUUUAUUAUCUUUUGUAUGGGAUUAGGUGUAUAUAUCUAUAUAAUUCAUUGCAUGAAGGUAUUUUCUUGUGGGUCAGUUAGGUUGGGUGGUUAGGGUUAAUGGUUGGGCCAGAUCGGUGGGUUAUGGUAUUUGGUUGACUGGUUCCUUGGAUGACAUUGCAUUGUGAAACCAACUGAUGUUGAAAUGUCAAAGGUAAGAAAAAGAAUUAAUCAAUGAUAUGGAUGGUUCUUGACCUUAUGAUUAUAAAUUAAUCUAUAAUGUAGAUUAUUAAAUUUUCAAUAUACAAAAUUUAGAUUAAAUAGGUCUCUAAGACAAGGCAAUGCAAUGAGGCAAACCAGGGUUCAAAGCAAGUCUUUACUCACUAGCUUUUAGUCCCUAACUUCUACUGCUGAGUCUUGUAGCAAAGUCCAUGCCUUACAUAGCAUGAUCAGUUCAAAGAAGAGGUCAUAUACAAGUCAAUCUAAUCAAGUCUUCUGUCCUGGUGAUGGGUCCCUCAUCCAAUAGAAUCAGAUCGUCCCUUUGAUUUUAUUGUCCAUCAAAAGCAAAAAUUAGACAUUGUCGAGGUUCUGAGGCAAGUUCAUGGAUAUAUAGAAAAUUUUAACUCGUAGACAUUGUUGAUUAGCUCUUCUUAUCUCUAUUUCAAAUGAUGAUUUUGUGCACACAUUGCUUGUUCAUAUAUUACAAGACUCAACAUUUAGGUGCUGAUUUUUCUUCAGGGGAUACAUGGCUCUUGAAUGCUCAAAGAAGGGUUGCUUAACUGAGGAACAACAACACCAGUUGCUGGCCAAAGUAGGAAUUUGAUUAUCUUCUCCAUUGGGUAAUCUUUUGGCUUCCUUCACAUCCUUUCUGGGCAGUCUUUUUCUCUACAUUUUCAAGUUUCAUUAUCAAUGUCCUCUGUAAUUAGCAUACUCAAAGGCAAAUCUACGGUCCGAGCAACGAGCAUCAAGCAUGACACAAUCAACUCAGGUAUGAGAUUCAAAGCCUUUGAGAAGCUCUCACUGGACAACAAGCUUCAUCUCUCAAUAUUCUCUUAGGCCGGUCAAGUCUGAGAGUGUUUGAAAAACUACAAAGAGAAUGCAAAUGGAAAGCCUUGAAUUAAGGUUGAGGAUCCUUAGCAUGAUCCUCGACACCCCCCCCCCCCCCCCAUUACUUGAUGGGUCAACGAUGGAUUCCUCGGUUUCCUUCAAUAGCAGGGAAGACUCGAGUAUUCUUCAUAAAGCAAGCUUCUUAUCAGGUCUGGAACAUUGAAGGUUGAGUCUACCCUAAUCUAACCAACUCGCAUCCAACUAAAAAAAAAAACGCAAGCUUUGGUUGACUGAUAAUGAAAACAUGAGGUAUGCUAAUAUUAUGAAAAAUGAUGCUUGAAAACUAUUUUGAUUUGAAUAUGUGCAAAUUCUUGUNNNNNNNNNNNNNNNNNNNNNNNNNNNNNNNNNNNNNNNNNNNNNNNNNNNNNNNNNNNNNNNNNNNNNNNNNNNNNNNNNNNNNNNNNNNNNNNNNNNNAAAAAGGGUUUUUUAAAAGGGGAAAAAACACCCCCGGUGGGGGCCAAAGAGAGAAUUUGAUUUUUUUUCCCCAGGGGGAAUUUUUUGGCUCCCUUCCCCCCCUUUUGGGGGCUUUUUUUUUUUAAAUUUUUAAAAUUUUUUUUAAAAUUUCCUUUUAAAUUGGAAAACCAAAAGGAAAAUUUUGGGUUGGGGCAAGGGGCCUCAAGCCGGACCAAAAAAAUUUGGGUUGGGGUUUAAAACCCUUUGAAAAGUUUCCCCGGGAAAAAAAAUUUUUUUUUUUAAUUUUUUUUUGGGCCGGUAAAUUUUGGGGGGUUUUAAAAAACCAAAAAAAAAAAAAAAAGGAAAACCCCUAAAUUAAGGGGGGGGGUCCUUUGCAUUUUCCCCCCCCCCCCCCCCCCCCCCCCCCCCCCCCCCGUAAGUUGAGCGUCGGAUUUAAGCGGACAUGAAACUUGGAUCGGAAGAGUUUAAAGAGAGGUUUUGACACACUUUUGGUGAAGAUGUCGGCAACUUGCAAGUGAAAAGGCACAUACUAAGUGCGAAGCUUGCCAGUGAGGACAAGUUCACAAAGAAAGUGAUAGUUGAGCUCAACAUGCUUAGCCCGUUUAUGAGAAAUUGGAUUGGAGCUCAAAAAGAUGUCACUCUUGUUGUCACAUAGGAGGAGAGGCCACUGUGGAAUUGAAACUUUGAGGUCACCGAGGAGAUGCAUGAGCUAAAGAAGUUCGGAGACAGUGAGCGCCAAAGCACGAUACUAAGAUUCACAACUGGAGCGAGAAACAGUAGGUUGCUUCCUGGCAUUCCAAGAAACCAAGUUACUGCCGAGAUAAAUAGAGUAACCAAAGGUAGAACGGCGAGUAUCAAGGCAACCUGCCCAAUCUGCGUUUGAGUAAGCAACUAAAACACCAGGAGCAACAGAGGGAUGAAAGGUAAGGCCAAAGUGUAGCGUGCCUUUAACAUAGCGAAGAAUGCGUUUGACAAUAAGAAAAUGGUCUUUAGUUGGGGAAUAGAGAAAUUGACCGACAAAGUUGACAACAUGAGAAAUAUCCGGACGGGUGAUGGUUAGAUACUGGAAAACACCAACAAGAGAUCUGUAAAGUGUAGAAUCCGAGAACAAAGGACCAUCAGCAGACAGGUGCUGUGAAACAACCAUGGGGGGUGUGAACAGGUUUGCUGUUAAGUAGCUGAGCUCGUGUGAGAAUAUCCCAUGCAUAUUUCAACUGGCUGAUGAAGAGGUCGUCAGAGGUGGUCGUUGCUUCAAGACCAAGGAAAUAACUAAGAGGACCCAAAUCCUUAGUAGCAAACUCAUAAUUGAGUUUGCAAGUAAAAUUGUUAAGAAGAGAUGAGUUGUUGCAUGUAAUAAUGAUGUUAUCAACAUAGAGAAGCAAAUAGAUUAUGUUAGAGUGCUUAUGAAAAACAAAUAGUAACUACACGACUGCAAUAAAAACUAAGUUUAAUGAGGAAAGAGCUGAGGUGCUGGAACCAGGCACAAGGAGCUUGCUUUAGACCAUAAAAGGCUUUUUGCAACUGAUAGACAUGAUUAGAAAAAUGAGGGUCAAUGUAUCCAAGGGGCUGCUCCAUAUAAACAUGUUCACUGAGAUGGCUAUUAAGAAAUGCAUUUUUUACAUCAAGUUGGCGAAUGGGCCAUUUGUUUGUCACAACAAGAGAGAGGACAACAUGAAUUGUAGUGGCCGUGAUGAUAGGGCUAAAAGUAUCAAUGUAGUCAAGACUAGGUACUUGUGUAUAGCCCUUGGCAACAAGACGGGCUUUGAAACAUUCAAUAGAUCCGUCAGGCAAAUAUUUGGUUCGAAACACCCAUUUGGAACCCACAAUGUUGGUGUCGAUAGGUCGAGGAACCAAAAUCCAGGUACGAUUGUUUUGCAAGGCUUGAACUUCUUCAUCCAUUGUAGUGAGCCAAACAGGAUUCUUAGCAGCAGAUUUGAAUCCUUUUGGCUUAGUAGAUGCAAGAAGAGCGAAAAUAAGUCCAGAGGAACCCACGAGUCCGAGAUGUGCCGAGUGGCGCGUUUUGAAGAUGUCGACUUUGGCUCGUGUGAGCAUAGGAUAAGAACCCAAGGGAACGACUGUAAUGGAAGGGCGAUCAACCAUGGGUAACUCAAUAAUAGGCUUCGGAGAAGCUGAUCUGAAGUCUGAGUGUGAGAAAGAAGGACCUAUAUGAGAAUUAGUUGCCUGCAAAGACUCAUCCACUGUAUCAAUACAAAUAAUACACGAGGUGGAUAUGAAUUGAGGAAUAUGUUGGGAGUUUGAUGCAGGGAAAGACAAGGGCAUGUCUAUAAGAGGGAGGCUCGAUUCCAAAAAAAUUGAGAUUUGGAGAGAGGAUAUGGGUUGAGCUUGGGAAGUAUGGUGAAAAUGAAAGUGGUUUUCGCCAAAUUGAGCAUGGCGGGUAAUAUAGAGUUUGGAGGUGGUGGGGUCAAGACAACGAAAACCUUUAUAAGAUGAAUGAUAACCCAUAAAAAUGCAAAGGAUGCUCCAAGGGGAAAACUUGUUAGUCAUGUAAUUACGUGAACAAGGAUAAACACGAUAACCAAAUGGAUGAAAAAUUUCGUAAUUGGGAGAGGAACCAUAUAGGAGUUGAAAAUGUGAGUUACCUUCGAGAAGCAGUGUGAGCAAACGGUUGAUGAUAUAAGCCGCAAUGCUAAAAGCAUCAACCCAGAAGUGCGUAGGAAUGUGAGAAUGAAAAAGGAGAGCUAGACUUGUUUCAGUCACAUGGUGGUGUUUCCUUUCGGCGAGACCAUUUUGGGCGGGUAUAUAAGGAUAAGAGAUUUGAUAAUCAAUGAUAGAGGUACUAAGGUGGGCUUUAAAGCAAUUGCUAGUGAAUUUUGUACCACCGUCACUUUGAAAAUUUUUUAUACGAGCAGAAUGUUGAUUUUCAAUAAACUUUUGAAAUUGAAGAAAAGUAUUAAAGAAGUCAGAUUUCAAUUUCAAUGGGUAAAGCCAAGUGAAACGAUAAUAAUCGUCAAUAAAUAAAGCAUAGCAUGUGAAACCCAAAUUGGACUGUACAGGAGAUGGUCCUCAUAGAUUGCAAUGAAUAAGAUCUAAAACCUUUGAAGAUCGAUGUUCAGUAUGAGAAUAAGCCAAACAAUGAUUCUUUGCGAUUUGACAUGUACUACAUAACGCAGGAGAUGACAAUAAAGAAGUAAGAGAAAUCUGUCAUUUUUUAUUCAGAAAAGAAAUAACAGAAUAAUUCACAUGUCCAAGGCGAGCAUGACAUAAAGCAUAUGAAGCGUGAAGAGAUUUAUUUUUCAGGACAGAAACAAAAGCUGAAUUUCUGCGUUCUAGCACAUAUAGGCUGUCAUCCUGUUUACCGGUUGCCACCACCCUUCCCGUUUGGCGAUUUUGAACAGUGAAAAAAUUAUUAGUAAUUGUAACGGAUAACGGAAAGUCAGUUCUUAAUUUACUAAUGGACAAACUAUUUUUAGUGAUGUGAGGAACAACCAGAAUGUCUAAUAGUUGAAAAUAAGGGGAAUGAGAAAGUUUACUAGUGUGGCUAAUAGGUAGAGACGCAUCAUUCCUGACAAUAACACAAUCCUUACCUGUAUAAGAAAUGGACUGGUCCAAGGAAGAUUGAGCUGGAGUCAUAUAGGCCGAGACCCCUAUGUCUAAAAACCAAGCCGAAGCCUCAUUUCUGAAAAUGGAACAUGAUGCAUUGAGGGUUUCGGCGAGUUACGCUUCAAGGGUUUGACCAUGGUAGUCAUAUCGUUGCUAGCACCGAUCCGCAUAGUGACCCUCCACAUGACUUAUUUGAUAGUGUGGAAGUCUACCAGAGGAGUGUCUUUGUCCGCGUCAGUUGUCGCCAAUGCGAGUUGGUUGAUUGUGGAAAGAAGAGCUGCACUUGUUCAAUUUUGCUAAAUUGCGAUUGGUGGCGAUGAACACCACAAGGGAUGGUGCAACAGGUUCUAAAGAUUUUUGGAAAAAAUCAAAGCUCUUUGCUUUUGGCACAAGAUCUACAAAACAGGGCAAAAGGGUGAGGGCCAUUUGGGUCGUGGGGAAGGUUGAGAAUUUCCAGCCCAGACCUCAGAGAAACCAGUGCACUUUGUCAAUGCCAUUGACGGGUCGUCCGAUUGCAUGGAGUUGAUCGUAGAGGGCCUCUAAGGUGCGGGCAUACUCCGAAAUAGAUCUGGUGCCUCGUUUCAUCAGUUGCAAGUCAUCAUUGAGAUAGAUUUCACGGGCUUUGGAGUGGUGGUUGAAUGUGUUUUCCAAGGCAACCCACACCUCGCAUGAAGUGGAGAGUCCCACAACUUCAGCCAUGGCCUCCUCGGUAAGGGAGGAUAACAGAAGGCUAAGGAGGCAUUGAUCGGUAUGUUUCCAUGCCACAUGUUUGAUGUUUGGUGUCUGAGAAUUUUCAAUGGUGAAAUGGGGUGGUAUUUCUAUAGUUUCAUCCACAUAGUCGAUUAGUUCUUGACUCUCUAAAAGGGGAAGCAAUUGGCUUUUCCAUAGGAGGUAGUUGGAAGAGGAUAGUUUGAUGGUAACCAUGUGGAUGAGGGUAUUGAAGGGGAGAAGAGUGGAGAAGGGUUCGACAGCCAUGGAAAGGGAAAGAAGAUCGUGAAAGAGAUGUUAAUCUAUCUUGCUCUGAUACCAUGAGAGUGUUUGAAAAACUACCACACAUUUUAGUGGUGGGUUAAUUUCAUAUAUAUAUAUACACACAUAGUUACAUACGUGAAUAUGGUAAUUACAAGUAUAGAAAGAAUCAAUAAAAUAAAACUAGAAGCUAUAAUUGUGGAUUCAAGAGAAUGCAAAUGGAAAACCAUGAAUUAAGGCUGUGGAUCCUUAGCAUGAUCCUCGACAAGGUCCACAACAACAUAUUAGUUGAUGGGUCAACGAUGGAUUCCUCGGUUUCCUUCAAUAGCAGGGAAGACUCGAGUAUUCUUCAUAAAGCAAGCUUCUUAUCAGGUCUGGAACAUUGAAGGUUGAGUCUACCCUAAUCUAACCAACUCGCAUCCAACUAAAAAAAAAAACGCAAGCUUUGGUUGACUGAUAAUGAAAACAUGAGGUAUGCUAAUAUUAUGAAAAAUGAUGCUUGAAAACUAUUUUGAUUUGAAUAUGUGCAAAUUCUUGUGUGAAUGGAGUGGUUCGAGUCAACACAGAGACAAGGAUUCAAAUACAGAAAAAUAAAAUUCUGGAUGACACUUACUAACGUUGGAUCCAUGUUCUUCUCUUCUUUCUCAAGUGUUAAUUGUUGAUUGUCACUUCGAUUUUUUUUAGACUAUUGAUCACAAUCAAAUUAAUUUCAAUAUGAAAAAAUAAUGUAAUUUCAAUAUGGAAAAAAUGAUGAAGGAAAAAAAAGAAGUUGGGAAAAUAAUUGUGAUAAAGUUAAUAAAUCUAUGCAUUUAAUUAAUUUUAAAAACAUGUGAAAAUAAUUUAUCAACAAAGUAUUCUUAAAAUUUUCAAAUUUAAUUUAAAUUAUCUUAUUUAAUAUAAUUAAAAUAUAAUUCAUAAUAGUUUUAUAUUUAAAAUUAUAAAUUUAACCAUUUUUAUUAAAAAAAAGUCAUGAUAGAACAUAAUUUACAAAAUUUUUGUAUAUUUAAAAUAAUAAAUUCAACUAUUCAUAUUAACUUUAAAUUUCAUAUUAAAAAAAGUAAAAAUAUGAAAAAAAAAAAAAAAAAAAAAGAUAUGAUACUGUAGACCUCAUUUUAGGGGCCUAUUUUCCUCACAUUCCUAUAGAUUUUUUUCAGGUGUCGCAACUGUGAGUAGCCACAUGUUGAUUCCCAUUUGGUUGUUAUGGCAUCAGGUAGUGGAAUCAACGAGCAAACAAGAGGAUGACAUGUGGAAAGAAUAUUCGAGAGAUGUUGUAGUCUGUUAGGAGGAGCGUAGGAAAGAGAAGAUUCAGGCCAGAGAUAGGUGCUUUUCAUGCUGGUUUGGUGAGAUUUUUUUUGGGAGGGCAUUCAUUCUUGAGGGGCAAAUGAGACGAGUGGGAGGGGGCUAAAGAUUUUUUGAAAGGAGGUUUUUCUGGCUGGGGUAACAAGCCAGAGGGGACAAGCGUUUUAGGACUAAGAGAAAAAGUAGAAAACCAGAGUUUUGAGAGGGUUACAGUGAGUAUCGAGCUGGGAGUUGCAGGGAGGCAUAGUGAGUUUUUUUAAAGAUAUUAUGUGGAGUUAUAGAGGGAUAUUCUUGCUUUCCUGAGGAGUAAGUUUGAGGAGAAAGAGGCUUUCAGGUAUGACCAUUUAUGAUUUUCCCGUAUAUUCUCAUCUUUCAUAUUUCUUCUAUCUUAUUCUCUAUGAUUUCAGUUUUGCUUGAUGGGUUGCUUUGUUUCGAUGAUCGUUGGUUUAAUAUUUGAAAAGCUGGCUGCAUUUUUGUGUUUUACCCAAGCAAACCUCUUUCAUCUUAACCCACUGAUUGCUAAACUCAUGGAUAAAAGAAUGAAAUGAGGUUAGCAUAUUCGUCAAAAGGUUCCCUGCUCUGUUCCUAUUUCUGUUCCCUUUCUCCUCUGUUUUCCUUUGAAAGAGACUUCCAAGCUUUAAGACUGGAAAUCUGGGGAGAUUGGCUUAUGGAGAAUGAUGAUGAUAAGAAGAGGAGGUUAUCAACUAUAGAAUCUGAAUCUGAAUCUGAAAAUGUCUGAAGCGGGUAUCAGUAGUUUUUGGGAUUCCAGGAGUUUUUCCUUGAGUAUGUGGGUAUCGAUGCUAAUAGCUGCAAAGUCCUAGCCAACAUUGUACAGUAGAGCCCAGAUGUUGCUCAAAGGGUUCAUGGUCAUCUUGUCAAGUACCUAAGGGCAAAUGGUGCUUGUGACCUAGGUCACAUGUUUGGUUACGCCGUCACGGAGACCCUUGAACUUAUGUCUCUAAGGCAUGUUCUCUCUACCAAGCUUGAUGCCUGCCUUACUAAGGAUGGGAGGACGAAACCUACUCACAGUUGAAACCCAGUGGUAAGAUUCAAGUCACUGUUGAGUAUCACAAUGAGAAUGGUGCCAUGGUUCCUCCUUCAUGUGUACAUUGUUCCCAUCUCUACCUAGCUUGACUAGACUGUCACCAGUGAGGAGAUUGCUGCCGAUACCAAAUAAUGCAUCAUCCAACCUGUUAUUCAUGAGAAAUACUUAGAUGAGAAGUCCAUCUUCCAACACCCAUUAAGCCACUUCUCACACUACUCAUUUCACCAAUGAUGCCCAUCCCUUCUAAACCCAUCAAACCCGUUUCAUCUCACCAUCACCUUCCAGCAACCACAAGUCUAUUCCUCUCAUAACCUAUUUCAUUAAUGAUGCCCUCAUAUCUCAUACUCAACAUAUCACCAUCUCUUCAUCUCCCUAACUUCUUUUACCCUUCCCACCGUUCAUAUUUCCUAACUUUUAUGCACCCAUGCAAGCCCUCUACGUCUAUAUAUCAUACCCAGCAUGCCUAUUGAACCCUUUUCUUUCAUCAUAUUCCGCUUCACAUCCCUCUAACCAUAUCCUUCUCCAUCUACACCACGGGCAUGGCUAUUAUUCCAUGCAUAUAUUCACACCCACUGAACCCUUCAAAUCCAUUUUCUUUCUCCAAGUCUACCCAUACCCUUUUCAUACAUCCUACAUAGCCACUCUUAUUUUUCCACAUUGCCCAUCCAUGAAAGCCCACCCUCUUGUUUUGAACCUAAUGAAGCUAUCAACAUGUUUGCUGAUGAAAUACUUGACAUAUGGUUUACAUGUAUAAGGCUCCUGAAGGAUGAGGAUGUUGGACUUAGUUAAAUGCUUGCCAUGGACGUCCAGAAGUGUUUUGCUCCCAGCAGAUUUGGAAAAGGCUUUCUAGCUAGUGUGGUACCAUCCCAGGUAAAGAAGUGCGGGAAAUUGUGUGGCAUCUGGAGGAGAUUUAGUCAGACUUGUUUUUGAAAAGGAGAUAGACAAUCACCAUGAAGAAAGACUACUUAUAUGCCAAAUUUUGUUGUUCUCAUAUGGAAAAUCUCAUAGUUUCGAAACCCCUGGCAAACCUUUACGACAAAGCUUGGCUCAAUGAAUUUUUACAGCAUUGGAGGAUGAGAUUUUGCCAACAAUUGGUGUCCUUUGCCAAUGGCCAUGUCGGGAAAUACCAGGAAGUCAAUUGGGUUGGCAGCAUGGGUAACUACAAGGAUGUGUUCCUGCCGUUGUAUGCAAAUAUGCUUGGCUUUCAUGCCGUCUCAAAUUGCGUUUUCAUUAGAGGAGGAAUCACGAACGGUGGGUCUCUACUAUCUGAUGUCAUCAAACCAGGAGAAACUGUUGAUUCCUUUCUCAUGGACGGUGGCUUCCAGGCUGCAUUCCAUGCUUAAGGUGUCAUAUAAGGAAGACCAUGGAGUCCUUGUAUUUUCACAAAUGACAAAACUUCUCGAUAUUCUUGAGAAUUAUUAAACCAUUGAAUUUGGGCCCAGAACAUUCGAGAGGGUGGAUGGUUCAAUUUCUUAUAGGGAAUUAAACCGAAUUCCCAACUCGUGAGAAACAAAAAUAGAGAAAAAACACACGCCAAAAAAAAAACAAUCACAUGCACAAGACAUUAUUUACGUGGUUUGGCAAUUUGCCUACGUCCACGAAGUUGUAGGGAUAUCACUAUUAUUAGGGAAGAAUAUAAAGUACAACGACAACGACUACAAUAUUUUCUCUUUAUAUAUAACACGAUAACCACACCACACUAAAGAACCUUAAUUACAAAAGAUGGUUCCACAAUGGGCUAAACGGGCCCAACAAGCCUUAGUAAAUCUUCCAUUAAAAAAACCGUGCAAUAUUAUUCGGGUUGAGUCGUCAAACUUGAUCAAACAAAAUUAGGCUCCACAAAGCCUAACAAAUCUCCCACUUGGAGACUAGUUCAAUCACCAACAUCAAACCGCUAUCCUCCAAGAAACAAUCCCUCAUCCCUGCAACUCAUCCUCCUGUCCUCAAGCUAGAAGACCAAUUGAAGCUGAUACGUUCCCAAUUGGUGUCUCAGCUUAUUCAUGUCCUCUCAAUGGUCCCUGAUAGUGGUGCCAUUUGAUUCGUGUCCAGUUGGUGUCCCUUGAUUGUGGUCCUCAGAAGGGAGCAAUCAACAAAAAUUAUAACCUAUUAUACCAUGUACUAGGAUAGCCUUAACUAGCAUAGCAUAGUGGCUCUAGGGUCGUUCACUGGGAUGGGUUUUCACUUCACAAUUGAUAUUAAUUCAAAGUUGAAUUGGUGCCUUUUCAUUUCAAGGUUAGCUUUAAAAGAAAACAUAAAGAUGUUUGAAAAGGGAUUGGUUUUAAGCUAACAAAAAAUAGUAACUGAUUUUACUUACAAAGAAAAGUGUUUCUUGGAGUUUAGAUCACUAGGCUCAGGUUCCUCAUACAAAAAGGAGAGUUCCAGUCACUUGUUUCUUUUCCUCGCAUUAGAGAAUUAACAUAUAGUUAAUUCUCUAACCGGUGUGAUACAGAUGCUUCCCUUUAAUGGAUUCAAACAAUAAUUCCCUCUCACUGAUGCAUCUUGCAAUGGCUCAUGUCUCUCACCUAGCAUUUGCCAUUCAAGGUGAUCCUUAACCUUGGAUUACCCGUCAAAAGCUCGCAAGAGAUAACUAAUGGAUGUCUCCUUAGAGUCCAAAAGCUUACCAAGUGUUGGCUAUUCUAGAAAAUCCUACCUUCAAACCACCUCCCAAAGGCUUGCAAGAGAUAAACUAGAGUAUCUCAAUGGACGGAGAUCACUUGUCUUACCAAGUUUUGGCCCAGGUGAUUUAAAGGCGUUUUAAGUUAACUAAAAAGAUAAAAACCAUUAACGGGUCACACUUUCUCUUCAUUAAAAACUAAAACAACAAAACUUCCAAUUUAUGCAUGAGGAAACUUACCCGGCUUUCUUCACUCCAAGAGAUGAAGAGCCUAGCCUCUCAUCCUCUGAGGAAAAAUCCUCAGAGUUUGAUUGGCUAGAAAGAAAAAUAAUGAGAAAACAAAAAUAUGAAGGAAAAAUAGAGCAAGUGCUCUGCAAAAUAUAUUUCUUCCUUAUACAAAAGGUUGUCUCCAAGAACAAGCUCCCGAGAGAUUGAUUAUAUCUUGUAAAGAAAAUUACAACUAUAUAUAAGAGGUUAUUCAUCCCUUUGUUCUUGCUUAAAGACUAAGGAAUCCUAUGAUAGAUGGGUUACAAGGAGAGUUUGGGGAUUUAGACAUCAAAUAUCUAAAGAAAAAUAUCUCAAAAUGUCAGUCAGGAAGCUUCAGGAGAACACCGCGGCACUGUUCAAAAUGGUUGAGAAAUUUUCGCAACAAAAGGACAACAUUUUUGCAGCCAAAGGCUAAUUUCGCAGUCGUGCACCAUUCUGCCUUCAGCUUGGAGUGAUAUGCUUGUAAUGGCUGUAACUCCUUCAUUUCAACUCCGAAUCGUGCACCAUUUGAAGGAUUGGAUUGUUGACCUCCUGAGCUUCGAAACGACAUAUAGUAUGCAUAAAUUGGACUUCAGGAAGUGCUCCAAGAGUGGCUAAAAUGACUGUCAUCAAGAAUGCUUCAUGACAGAUUUCUCUUUGCUUCCCCUCCUUGCAUUCCGGAUUUGCUUAUGACAAAGGACUUCAAAGCUUCGGUUCUUCAUAUUUCUGAGCUUUCCAUUUGCUUUGCCAUGGAUUCCAAAUAACUCUCCUUAAUCUUGGAUUGCUUUGGUGAUAAAAAAAGCUAUCAAAACACCAAAACUUAACACAAUUUGAUUAGAAUUGAUUGCAAGGGUCCUUAAUAUGUUAAGUGGGUUAAAAAGUAAUAACUACUACUCAAAAGUGUUUAAAAGAGUUAAUUACAAGCUAUCAAAUAACACUUUUUGAGUAGUAAUCAGAAGUUGCGCACAGCUUCAACUUCUCAAUAGUGACACCUUUAGUCAACAUGUCUGCCGGGUUCUUAGAUCCACAAAUCUUCUCAAAUGUUACCAGUUUAUCUUCAACAAGAUAACGGAUAAAGUGGUAUUUUGUUUGUAUAUGCUUCGACUUCGAAUGAAAAACCGAAUUUUUGGCAAGAAAAAUUGCACUCUGACUGUCACUGUGUAGAAUGCCCAUCUCCUACUUCUUAUCCAAUUCAUCUAAGAAACCAUGUAGCCAAAUCAUCUCCUUUCCAGCUUCAGUUGCUGCAACAUACUCAGAUUUUGUAGUAGACAAAGUAACAAUCUUCUGUAGAUUUGAAGCCCAUGAUAUAAUUGUACCACCUAGAGUAAAAACAAACCCAGUAGUACUCUUUCUACUAUCAAUAUCACCAGCAAAAUCAGCAUCUACAUAACCCUACAAUUUCAAACUUGCACCUGUGAAGCAAAGACAUGUAUCUAAUGAACCCUUCAGAUAUCUUAGAAUCCACUUAACUGCCUCCCAAUGCUGCUUUCCAGGCCUACUCAUGAAUCUACUCACAACUCCCACUACAUGUGCAAUGUCUAGCCUUGUACACACCAUAGCAUACACCAAGCUGCCAAUAGUUGAGGCAUAGGGCACCUUGCUCAUAUGGUCAUUUUCUUCUUCUGUCUUCGGUGACUGUUCUUUGCUUAGUUUGAAAUGACUCCCUAAGGGUGUGCUCACUGGUUUAGCUUCAUUCAUGUUGAACUUGCUGAGAACUUUCUUCACAUACUCUAACUGUGAAAGCUUCAAUGUACCAUUAGUCUUGUCUCUAAUGAUUCUUAUACCAGGGAUUUGCUUUGCAGCUACCAAAUCCUUCAUUGCAAAUUGUUUGGACAAUUGCUUCUUCAGAUUAUUAAUCUCCUCAAUGUCAUACCCUGCAAUAAGCAUAUCAUCUACAUACAACAGUAAUAUGAUGUAAGAAUUGUCAAAAGACUUAACAUAACAACAGUGAUCAACUUCACAUCUCUUGAACCCAAUUCUAUGCAUAAAACUAUCAAACUUCUUGUACCACUGUCUAGGAGCUUGUUUAAGGUCAUACAAACUCUUUCUCAGUUUGUAGACUAGAUUCUCUUGUCCCUGAGCAAUGAACCCUUCUGGCUGAAUCAUUUAAAGGUCUUCCUCUAAGUCACCAUGAAGAAAUGAUGUCUUCACAUCUAACUGCUCAAGAUGUAAUUUUUCUGCAGCUACCAUUCCCAGUACAAGUCUGAUUGUUGACAUAUUCACAACUAAAGAAAAUAUCUCUGUAUAGUCAAUGCCCUCCUUCUGGAACCCUUUAACAACUAAUUUGGCCUUGUAACGUUUGCUACCAUCAUGCUCAUUCUUUAUUCUGUAUACCCACUUGUUGUGCAAAGCCUUCUUCCCUACUGGUAAUUUAGUUAGUUCCCAUGUUUGAUUCCUCAACAAGGAAUCCAUCUCAUCCUUCAUGGCUAACUCCCACUUGCUUGAAUUCUCAUCUUGCAAGGCUUCAUCAUAACACUCUGGCUCACCACCAUCAGUCAACAAAAGAUAAUUUAAAACAGGUGAAUAACGCUGUGGAGGUCUAAUGUUCCAGGAAUAUCUGCAAACUUCAAUUAUAGGUGUACUCAGAUCUACCUGUGAAUUAACAUUCUCUUUAACUUCUUCAUCCCCUUUUUGGACAGUACUUUCAGUCAAUUCAUCUAACUUGACAAACUCAGAUUUCUUUUGAUCUAUCUCUAUAACAUCUGACACUACAGUUGACCUGUCCUUGUACAUAACCUGUUCAUUAAAUAUCACAUUUCUACUUCUGAUGAUUUUCCUGUUUUGUUCAUCCCAAAACCUAUAGCCAAAUUUCUCAUCACCAUAGCCAAUGAAAAAACAUAUUUUUGACUUUGCAUCAAGUUUACUACGAGCAUCAAAAUCAAUAUGAACAUAAGAAACACAACCAGAAACUUUUAAAUGUGAAAACUUCAUCUCUUUAUCGCUCCAAACCUCCUCAGGAAGUCUGAACUCCAUGGGAACUGAUGGUCCUCGGUUUAUCAGGUAAGCUACAGUGCUAACAGCAUCAGCCCAAAAAGUUUUUGGUAGUCUAGCAUGCAACCUUAUACUUCUAGCACGCUCAUUAAGAGUUCUGUUCAUGCUCUCAGCCACACCAUUUGUUGUGGUGUCCCAGGAAUAGUUUUCUCCAUCCUAAUUCCCUGUGCAGCAUAAUACUCACUGAACCCUCCAUCUAUGUACUCUCCUCCAUUAUCUGACCUCAAACAUUUUACUUUUAAACUUGUUUCUAUCUCAACCAUGGCCUUCCACUUCUUAAAAGUUUCAAAUACAUCAAAUUUAUUUUUCAAAAAAUAAACCCAUACAUUUAUGUUUGAGUCAUCAAUAAAAGUGAUGUAGUACCUUGAAGCACCAAGGGACGCAACCGGAGAAGGCCCCCACAAAUCAGUGUGUACUAGUUCCAAUUUUUCAGCCUUUGGUGUCCUGCUAGUUUUCAAGAAGCUCACAUUUUUUUGCUUUCCUAAGAUGUAACUUUCACACAUGUCCAAAUCAAUGGACUUCAAUUCUGGUAGUUUUUCUUUUGACAACAGCAUCUUCAUCCCUUUCUCACUCAUGUGACCAAGUCUACAGUGUCAUAGGCUUAUAUCAAUACUUGCAUCAGCAACUACAAUUGUGUCUCUUGGACAUGAGGUCAUAUACAGAGUACCAGUCUUCUUUCCACAAGCCAAUACCCUAGCUCUCUUUGUAACCUUCCAAGUACCACCAACAAAUAGUAUUGCAUGUCCUUCAUCAUCAAGUUGUCCAACAGAAAUCAGAUUCCUCCUCAGGUGAAGAAUAUGUCGAACCUUCUCCAGUAACCAAACAGACCCAUUGGGCAACGAUAUUCGGAAGUCUCCCAGACCCACAACAUCCAAGGCUGAACCAUCAGCCAAAUACACCUUACCAAAAUCACUUGCAGCAUAAUUCUGUAUGAUUUCUCGGUGUGGAGUGGUAUGAAACGAAGCUCCUGAAUCCAAAACCCAAUCAUCAAGUGGACUGUCUACUGCAAGAAGUAAUGCAUCAUGUACCUCUUCUGUUACAACAUUAGCAGAAUCAUCUUCAUUCUUUUUCUUAGGGCUUUUGCAUUGCCUUUUAAAGUGACCUGUUUUCCCACAGUUCUAGCAUUGUACUUGUUGGCCUGAUCUAGAUUUGCUUCUGUUCCAAUUAAAAUUUCUGGAUUUUGAUCUACCCUGGUUUGAAUUUUUGUCAUUACCUCUGCCUCUUGUCUCAAGGUUUAGGGCAGAACCAGAACCUGAAGUUUCGCCUGCAUCUCUUCAGCGAAUCUCCUCAGCCAUAAUUAAAUCUCGUAUAUCAUUGUACUUGAACUUUUCCUUUCCCGUAGAAUUGCUUAUUGCCAUCCUCAUUGCCUCCCAACUGUUUGGCAAAGAAGCCAAGACGAUCAGAGCACAAAUCUCAUCAUCAAAAUCAAUUUUUACAGACGAUAAUUGAUUUGUGAUUGUAUUAAAUUCAUUCAGAUGUUGUGCUAUUGAUACAUUCUCUGCCAUCUUCAAAUUGAACAAUUUCUUCAUCAGAUGCACCUUAUUGUUUACGGACGACUUUUCAUACAUACCGGACAAAGCCUUCAUCAAAUCUGCUGUGGUAUUCUCCUUUACAACAUUGUGUGCAAUAGACCUAGAGAGAGUUAACCUAAUAACUCCUAGAACCUGUCUGUCAAGAAGUAUCCAUUCCUCAACCUUCAUACUCUCAGGUUUUGUCCCCAAAAAAGGCAGAUGCAAUUUCCUCCCAUAGAGAUAAUCUUCAAUCUGCAUCCUCCAAUACGCAAAAUUUGUGCCAUCAAACUUUUCUAUUCUGGACGCCUUUCCUGCUUCCUCUGUCAUUGCUCCUACUCAAACCUAACCCUAGGCUCUGAUAUCAGUUGUAGGGAAUUAAACCGAAUUCCCAACCUGUGAGAAACAAAAAUAGAGAAAAAACACACGCCAAAGAAAAAAACAAUCACACGCACAAGAUAGAUUUACGUGGUUCAAUAAUUUGCCUACGUCCACGGAGUUGUAGAGAUAUCACUAUUAUCAGGAAAGAAUAUAGAGUACAAUGACAACGGCUACAAUAUUUUCUCUCUAUAUAUAACACGACAACCACACCACACUAAAAAACCCUAAUUACAAAAAAUGGUUCCAUAAUGGGCUAAACGGGCCCAACAGGCCUCAGUAAAUCUCCCAUUAAAAAGACCAUGCAAUAUUAUUCGGGUUGGGUCGUCAAACCGGAUCAAACAAAACUAGGCUCCACAAAGCCCAACAUUUUUGUGGCUGAUUGCCAAGCUUACAGUGUUCUACCCAUCAUUAAUGUUGAUUUUUUCUCAGGUUAGAGGAAGCUCGUUCAUGGGGUGUUAGCAUCUCAAUCUGAGAAAUCGACUAAGGCAGAGGAGAUGGAAUGAGACCUUUGUUUAUGUAAGCUUUAUUUUCCACCAAUAACAACCACAUGAAAGGCCUAAUGAAGACGAAAGCCAGACAUAACAGGUCCAAAUGCCAAUAUACUUGGAGCAGUUCCACUUUUGGAUCUAAAAGAAAAAAGUACUGAAUUUGCAUCCCAUUCGAGAUUAUCCACUGACCAAUCAUCUGAGAGAAUGGGUGUCUUUGGGUUGGUAUUCUCUUGUUGAAAUUCAUAGCUGGGAUGAGAACUUUUAGGUUUUGACAAAAUGAUUAAUGAAAAAAAAUGAACCAUGUUUGAAUGAGUGAGGAAAAUACAGCAGGAGAUGUGGCAUAAUAAAUACGACCUCAUGAGAAAUUCCUACAAUGUUGGCUUGAUCACUAGUUGGAAGUCAUGGUGGAUGUGCAUGAAGUUCAUUUUGGAUAUGAGAAGUGAAGCCAAGUACAAGCUGCAUUGGAUGAAGAGUUAGCAGUGCUGAAAUAAGUGGAAUACAUGCUUGGGGAAGAUAAAGAUAUAUCACUGAUUCCAGCAGAUGAUGAAGUAGAACCAGUGGUAAAAACGGGCCUUUCCCAGAUUUGUUCUUCAUUCGAAAAGGAAUUAUCUUCAUUGCUUUUGGAGCCUGAUCUUACAUCCGAGACAGUGGAGGGUAUAGAACACCGGGAAACCACGUGUCAUUUGUGAUGCCCAAUCACCUCAACUCACAUGCAGAUUAUCUUUCACAUCUUUUGGGUUGGAAUUAUUAAUAUCUUGUCCUGCAUCUGUUGGGUUUUCUCUUGGUUGUACUGAUGAUCCUAAUGCAUUGGAAAUCUCAUCUCUUGUUCCCUUAAUGCCAAGCUUCCCAUUCUCCAGCCUUUGCAUCUUCACUGUGCGAGAGAGUUAUACACUUUCAGCCAACAUAUCCAUUGUAAGUGCAAUUCAGAAAUAGGUAAGCUUGGGAAAAUGUUUAUGUUGUCAGAUUCUUCUGUUUGCCCCUGGGCGUGAAACAAAAGACACUCAAUAUGGGAUAGCUAAAGUGAAGGGAGUUAGAGGAAUAUCAGGGUACAAGAUGUCAGACACUCAUAACAAGAGGAACAACUCCAUUGGCCUUGGUGCAUUUGACUAGCUUGAUCUAGUGGUGACUAAAUCAGUGAUUCGUUGGGCCAACAUGCACACAUAUCUCUCACUCAUGCCUUUAUGCAUGGCUACAUUCAGGUCACGUGUCCUCUCUAUGUUUCUUCAUCCCCUUUCAUCAUCCUUAAUUUUAAAAAUAUUUUUCCAAAUCCCAUUCUUCAAAUAAUUUUAUAGAUUUUAGUUUGUUCAAAAAUAAUUGUAACUCUUCCAUUUUUCAUCCUUAGCAUUUUUCUUAGGUUUCAAAAUUAUGUCUUUUUUUCAAUAAAAUUUUGCUCCCACUUUUUCUUUUGGCAAGCAAUUUUCAUAACUCUCAGGAUUUUUAAAAAAUGUUUUAAAAUAAGUAUGAAUUUAUUUCCAUAAUUCUGAACAAGGGAAAUUCAUGGGAUUGGUUCAUACAAAAAUAAAUCGGGCAUUGGUGGGGGCCCAACAUAUGUGAUUUUAUAAUUGAUUGAUUGAUCGAUUGAUUCAAUUCUCAUACAUGAUUGAUUUAUCCUGCUCUAUGACAUGCAUGCGAUUAUUCCUUAAUUGUGCACUAACCUCUUUUCUUGAUAGCGCAUUGUGGAUCGUUGCUCAGGUACAUAUCUAUUCACAUCCUGGUCCUUUAUGCAUAUUCUGAUACUCCUAUGUGCAUGAUCGAUUCGAAUAUUCAUUGAUUUUCUCAUUGAUUGCCAUGUCAGCUUUAUUUUAUUAGUAGAGACCCGUUUUAGGGACUUAGAGGAGUGUUACGGUCUUUACCGUACCUUCCCGAUAAGUAACCUGAUUCCCGAGCCCGAUUCGGUUUUUGCACAGACCACCUUUUCCAAAAUAAGGAGUCACACUUAGGGUUUUCUUUCUUAUUUUGUUUACUCCAAGUCAUUUUCUAAUAAAAUCAUUUCUCAAAAUAAAAAUCAAGCUCGCAAUCGAGUGGAAAACGCAUGAGCCGAAAUGCGGGGUCCACAGAUACACAUCUAAUGAUUAAAAUUAGUUCUUAAUAUUUUAUAUUUCUAAAAGUUAGAAUAAUAAAUUUUAAUUAAAAGAAUUUAUUUGAAGUAAUCAUAAAUAGAAAACUAAAAAAUUUAGAUGUUUAAUUAAUUUUAAAAAUGUUUGGAAAUAAUUUAUCAACAAACUAUUCUUAAAACUCUCAAAUUUAAUUUAAAUUAUUUUAUUUAAAGCAAUAUAAAUAUAAUUCACAAAAGCUUUAUAUAUUUAAAUUAAUAAAUUCAACUAUUUAUGUAAACUUAUAAAAAAGAAGAAGUAAUUAUACCUUAAUUUUUAAUAUUUUAAGUUUAUAAAGUUUUUGUCUUAGAUUUAUAACUAAAAAUGUUAAUAGUCAAUAUUUUAAAAUUUUAAAGUUACCAUCAUAAAUUUUUAACUAAAAGUCUAGAUUAUUAUAAAAUAAGUAUAUAAAUUUUUAUAAAAAAUUAAAGAAAAAUCUUAUAUUAUUAUAAUAUAUUACUAUCUAUUAUCUAUUGAUAUAAUAUUAUAGGAUAAUAUAUUAUUAUAUUUUUUAAAUAUAUUUAUUUAUAAAUAUUAUUUAUUAAUGAAUAUCAAAUUUUUAACUAAAUUAUUUAUCAAUUUGUGGAAUCGCAUUUCUGCUUUAUGGGUUCCCACUCAAUGGCGAACUCACUUUUUAUUUGAAAAAUGAUUUAUUGAUUAAAAAAAUGACUUGGAGUCGCCACUUAUUUUUGUUAUAUUUUUAAAAGGUAAAUAAAAUAAAAAAAGAAAACCCAAAGUGUGACUCCUUAUUUGGAAAAGGUGGUAUGUGAAAAACUAAAUCUGGGCUUGGGGGUCAGGUUACUCAUUGGGAAUGUACGGUAAGGACCGUAACACCCCUUUAAGUCCCUAAAAACGGGUCUUUACUAAUAAGAUGAGGCAAGUAUGACAAUUGAUCGAUUAAACAUGAAUACCAAACAAUGAUCAAAUGUGUGAAAGCAAGACAGGCAUGAUAACAAAUAAAUCGAUGAACACAAUCGAGACUACGAGGCAUACCUUAGUCACAAGCUGAGCGCUGUCAUAAGAGACAAGGUUAGUGCACAAAUGUAAAAUAAUCGCAUGCAUGUCAUAGAGUGAGGCAAACCAAUCAAGCAUAACAAUCAAUCAAUCAAUCAAUGAGAAAAUCUCAUAUAUUGGCCCCCACCAAAACCCAAUUGAUCUUACAUGAGUUAAUCUCACCAAUUCCAUUAUUUUGGAAUUACGAUAAUUGUUUUCGUGCUUAUUAAAAUAGUGAAAAACGAGAAAAUAAUUUAAAAAAACAAAGAAAAUCACAGGGCGCAUGCCUGAAUGAAAAAUGGCAGCACGUUUAUUAAAAAUUAGGUUUUGGUGAAUUGGGAUUUUAAUAAAGAAAAGAAAAAUAAAGAAAGAGAAAAAAAAUAAUGAUGAUAAUAAUAAUAAUAAUAAUAAUAAUAAUAAUAAUAAUAAUAAUAAUACUAGAAAAUAAAUAAAUAAAUCGAAUAACACAAACUAAAAUAAUAAAAUAAAUAAAUAAAUAAUUAUAUGAAAUAUGAACGAAUAAAAAUAAUUAAGUUAGGUGAAUAAACAUAUCAAAUUAAUGAAUUUAAAAGAUUUAAAACUAUCCGAAAGACAAAUAUUUGAAAAUCAAGCUUUGAAACUAAAUUGAAAAUUGAAGUUUUAAGAAAUAAAUUGGAAAAUUGGAAUUUUAGAAAAAUAAUUUGAAACUGGGAGUCGUGAAAAUUAGAACUUUGGAAAAUUGAGAAUUAAAUUUGGAAAUUGGAAUUUUGGCGGAUUAUUUAGAAAUGGAAUUUUAGAUAAAUGAAUAAGUGGAUAAAUAAAUGACUAAAAUAAUAAUAAUAACAAAAAUAAUAAAGAUUGGAUAAAUAAUUGUGAAAAUUGGAAUUUUGGGAAUUGAAAAUUGAAUUUAGAAAUCGAAAAUUUGAAGAAUUAUUUAGAAAUGGAAUUUUAAAUAAUUGAAUAAGUGAAUAAAUAAAUGAAUGAAAUAAUAAUAACAACGGAAAUAAUAAUGAUUAGAUAAAUAAUUGCGAAAAUUGGAAUUUUGGAAAUUAGAAAUUGAAUUUAGAAAUUGGAAAUUUGAAGAAUUAUUUGAAGAAAGAAUUUGAAAAAUAAAUGAAUAAGUGAAUAAAUAAAUGAAUGGAAUAAUAAUGAUUGGAUAAAUAAUUGUGAAAAUUGGAAUUUUGGAAAUUGAAAAUUGAAUUUAGAAAUUGGAAAUUUGAAGAAUUAUUUAGAGAUGGAAUUUUAAAUAAAUGAAUGGAAUAAUAAUAAUAACGAAAAUAAUAAUGAUUGGAUAAAUAAUUGCGAAAAUUAGAAUUUUGGAAAUUGGAAAUUGAAUUUAGAAAUCGGAAAUUUGAAGAAUUAUUUAGAGAUGAAAUUUUAAAUAAUUUAAUAAGUGAAUAAAUAAAUUAAUGGAAUAAUAAUAACGAAAAUAAUAAUGAUUGGAUAAAUAAUUGUGAAGAUUGGAAUUUUGGAAAUUGGAAAUAUAAUUUAGAAAUCGGAAAUUUGAAGAAUUAUUUAGAUAUGGAAUUUUAAAUAAAUGAAUAAAUGAAUGAAUUGAAUAAUAAUAAUAAUAAUAAAAAUAAUAACGAUUAAAUAAAUAAAUGUGAAAAUUGGAAUUUUGGAAAUUGGAAACUAGAAUUUGGAAGAAUUAGUUAAAGAUAGAAUUUUAAAAAUGAAUAAAUAAAUAAAAUAAUAAUAACAAAAAUAAUAGUGAUUAAAUGAAUAAAUGUGAAAAUUGGGAUUUUGGAAAUUGGGAAUUAGAUUUGGAGGUCAGAAUUUUGAAGGAUUAUUUGAAGAUAGAAUUUUAAAAAAUAAAUAAGUAAAUAAAUAAAUAAAAUAAUAUUAAUAACGAGAAUAAUAAUGAUUAAAUAAAUGAAUGCAAAAAAUGGAAUUUUGGAGAUUGGAAAUUAAAUUGGGAAAUCGGAAAUUUGAAAAAUUAUUUAAAGGUGGAAUUUAAAAUAAAUAAAUAAGUAAAUAAAUAAAAUAAUAAUAAUAACAAGAAUAAUAAUGAUUAAAUAAAUAAAUGUGAAAAUUGAAAUUUUAGAAAUUGGAACUUAAAUUUGGAAAUAAGAAUUUUGAAGAUAUUUAUUUAAAGAUGGAAUUUACCGAAAUCAAACCUUGACACGUGAUAGAAAAGGAGAAAAAAAAAAAACAAUAAUUCACCAUGCCACUUAGAGAACUUAAAGUGCUCCUGCCACUAAUAAAACCUCAUGCCACAAUACACCAAAUCAAGAAAAAGAAGGCCAUCACUACCCGCCACCCAUUUUUUAAAUAAUAAAAAUAAAUCCUUCAGGAAUUGCCAUUCCACAACCAACUCUAUCCACUUUACUCUUUCAAAAAUUCUUCUGUUGUGCUCUUCUAAAUCAAGCAAAAAACACAGAGAGGCUGAGAGGGGUCAUCCUUCCAAACUGCCUUAGAAUUGCUACAAUAGAGGAGCCACUAUGUGAACAAAGCAGCAUCUCUCUGAUUUGACCAUGAAAGAACCCAGGACAUCCUGAACAAGGAGAAAAUCAAUGCCCACAAACUAGAAGACCAUCACAAAGAAUGACUAAUGAGGAUGUGCUCCACCAGCUCCAUCAAAUGCAAGCGGAUAUUGCUAGCUCACAAAACUGCUACUUUAUGCACCAUGACCAAAGAAGGCAGAUUUGAGGACAAGUGAACGGACGUUGGAAGCACAUGGCGGUGAAGCCAAGCUUAACCCAACACCAAUGGGGACUUUCAUAGCCUUUUUUUUUUUUUUUUGGGAAACAAAUUUCUAAAGAGAGAAAGCGUAGGAAAAUGUGAGGGUUUUCCACUCCCACACCUUUGAUUGUUUGGGUUCAUUCUUCUUGUCCCUUCUUCCUGGUUUGUGGUGUGUGAAGGAAAUGAAAAUGGCCAUGCAUGCAGAUUCUUUUGCAUGAGUGAGAAAUGAGUAGUGGGGCAACCGGGUGUGAUGGGUAGCCAUGCAUAUGGCUUCAUGCACGUGAGAAAAGGGUGGGAAUGAGCUGAAAAUGAGUAUUGGUGGGAGAAAUGGGUCUCAUGGGCAUUUGAAAAAUGGUCACGUGGUGUAGAGAGAGAAGAUGGUGGUGAUGGGUAUGUCGGUAAGAAGGAUGAUGAGAUGAGGGUGACCAUGCAUUUUGGACCUCAUGCACAUGGGGAAAUGGUGGAAGUAAGUUGAAAGUGGGUUAGAUGGGCGAGCAAGAAGGGUGGUGGAGUGAUGAGGAUUAAGCAAACACUAGAACAUAAAACACAUGAUGAUACGGAGCCCCAUUACAAGUGACACCCAUGAGCUUAAAGUGAGUGAGAUUAACAAAGAAAAUAAAUAAGGGUCCCAUAUGUCAAGCUUCAGAAAUGAACUCAUGCAUCAAUCUUGUACAGAGAAAGGCAAAGGAACCCCAAAAACGGAGCAUGCACAUGGAAGAAUAAAUUCAACCAAGACAAACAAAUGGCUCUUCCUAUCCAUACCGAAACAGGAAGUUGAUGCCCAAAAAAUAAGAAAAAAAAAAGUUGAAAAUGAGAAUAAAAAGCCCUAUGGAAGUGAGAAAACAAGGAGCUAUAUUAGUCAAACCUGAAAAGCCCUCCUCAAGCAAAAAGUUGCUCGUCUUCGAGCUCCCCUACUCUAAGAAUGAUUUCUUCUUUCACUCAGUUGCUUGCAUGCUCCAACUUUCUUCCUCCUCAAGUUGCUUUCUAAGGCUCCUCACUAGUUCACUCUCCAGUUCUCUUCAUGUGCUCUCAGUUGGUAUCUCCCUCAAAAUCGUUCCCUCGUAACUACAAAAAACUUUUUUUUUUCUCCUCUCCCCCGUUUGCUAUGUCAAAAAAAUCUUUUUUUUUUUUCUAAAAAUCCCCCAGCCAGCUCGCAGAACACGCUCUCCCUGUCCCUUACAGCUCACCCCUCCUCUGUAACCCACCACCUUUUUGUUCAGUUUCUUCCUUUUCAAAUGGUUGUCCCUUUUGUACCAAGCAACUUACCCUUCCUUUUCCUUCUUGCUUCCCGUCCUCUUUAGCUGCCCAAUAUAACCAAGGAUGAAAAUAUCGGUAAUCACGGAUAUAUCGAUAUUUCGAUUUUACGGAUAUAUCGGAGAUAUAUUGGAUAUAUCGGAGAUAUAUUGGAUAUAUCGGAGAUAUAUCGAUGGAUUUUUUGGAAAAAAAUAUCAGUAAGCUUAAAAUUGUUAAAAACUCAUGAAAAUGUAAGGAAAACCUCAUAAUAAUAUAAUUAUAAGUAUAAUAGACAUUUUAAAGUUAUUUUAUUGAAAAUUUUGAUAUAUGUAUAACAUGAUUUAUCAUAUUUGAUAAUAAUAUCGUAUGCAUUGAUAAAAAUAUGAAUUUUAUAAGUGUACAUUUAUUAUUAAAUUACACCUAAUAUUAUGAUAUUUGAUUAUAAUAUAUCUAAUUUUAAAAUAUAUAUUAGUAUUAAAAUAUGAUCCAUUUAAUUCAAUUGUAUUAAACAAUAUAAAAUAAAUAAUGAUAUAUAUAUAAAUUUUUAAUAUUUAAUUAAUUAUUAAUGAUAUUAAAAAUAUUAUGAAGAAAAUUAUAUAAUUUUUAUAUUUUUGGUAAUUAAUUAAAAGACUUUGCAUUUAAUUAUAAAAUAAUUAUUAUUAAUUUGCUCUUUAAAAUAUUCUUAUAUUUUCUUUAUAUAAUGAGUUUAAGUAUAUAUAUAUAUUUGUUGCAUAUUAUGUAUCAAAGGACAAGUUAGCCCAGGUGGUACCCCAAACCUUUUGGUUUGGGGUUCAAAUCGUCUCGGCUCCAAGCAAAUGGAUAGGCACUGUAGCAACAUUGUAGCAACAUCGCCGAAAUAUCGCUAUCAGUCUUCUUUGGUUGCCAGUCUUGUCUAGCCGUCCCUUACAGCACAUUCUUGAGUUGAUGAAGAAGAAGAUAUAAUAAAAUAGUAAUAAAAAAAACCAAAGAAAUGCCCCCCAUUUGAGGGGGUCCACACAAUCACAUAAAUAACAAAUCUUUAUGGAUGAUUAAUUUAAAAAUGGAGAUCAAAAUAACUUCUUUUUUUUUUUUGACAUAUCUAGAAAUAUUAGGAUAAUUUCGAUUUAUAUGAUUUAAGAAAAAUAUAUCACAUAUAAUAUAAAUAUAAAAAUUAAGUUAACCACUUAAUUAUAAAAAUAUAAAAAUAUAAAUUAUUUUAAAAAAUAUAAAAGAUAAUUUUAUAUUAUUAUAAUAUAUUAUGUAUUAAUAUAAUUGUGAAUCCAUGUUUUUCAUAUCAAUCACCUUUUAUUUGAAAAAUUGAUAUUUUUUUCUUUUUUCUUUUUUCUUUUUUUAAUUGUUUUGCUCUUUCCUUCCGUAGAAAUUCUCCAUCCCCUCUUUUCUCCGUAGAACUUUUUCCUUUUUGGUUCGCCUCCUAGCCAGCCACCCUCUCGAAAUAUCUCUACAACAACAUAUCCUACCCUCGCAGCCUUACCCUCUCUUUCCUGUAACAACCAUCUGCAGGGACUAGGAGAGAAUAUGUUGUCUCCAAUCCAAGUGGUCCCAAAAAAGAUGUGAAAAGGGGGCCCAAAAUGGGGUCUAUAAAAAUAUAGUUGAUUUAUCUAUUUAUAAGUAUUAUUUAUUAAUUAAUAUCAUAUUUUAAUUAAUUUUAAGGUAUUUAAAGUAAAUAACUUACAUUUAAAUUAUUGUUUUUUAAUAAUAAAGAUAUAUAUAUAUAUAUAUAUCUCUUAAAAUUAAUUUAAAUUAUUUUAUUAAUAAAAAAUUAAUUCAUUCAUUGUCUUUAAAAAAAUUAUCUCUUUCAUGGUUUUAGUUAUAAGACUUGUAAAUUUUAUUUUUAAAAUAAUUAUUAAUAAUAAAUAAUAUUAAAAUUCAAAAUUCUUGUUAAAAAAAAGUAAAAUGAUUAAAAGAUAUGGUACAAAACAAUAAUUUAAAUGUAAGUUAUUUACUUUAAAUACCUUAAAAUUAAUUAAAAUAUGAUAUUAAUUAAUAAAUAAUACUUAUAAAUAGAUAAAUCAACUAUAUUUUUAUAGACCCCAUUUUGGGCCCCCUUUUCACAUCUUUUUUGGGACCACUUGGAUUGGAGACAACAUAUUCUCUCCUAGUCCCUGCAGAUGGUUGUUACAGGAAAGAGAGGGUAAGGUUGCGAGGGUAGGAUAUGUUGCUGUAGAGAUAUUUCGAGAGGGUGGCUGACUAGGAGGCGAACCAAAAAAGAAAAAGUUCUACGGAGAAAAGAGGGGCUGAAGAAUUUCUACGGAAGGAAAGGGCAAAACAAUUAAAAAAAGAAAAAAGAAAAAAGAAAAAAGAAAAAAAUAUCAAUUUUUCAAAUAAAAGGUGAUUGAUAUGAAAAACAUGGAUUCACAAUUAUAUUAAUACAUAAUAUAUUAUAAUAAUAUAAAAUUAUCUUUUAUAUUUUUUUAAAUAAUUUAUAUUUUUAUAUUUUUAUAAUUAAGUGGUUAACUUAAUUUUUAUAUUUAUAUUAUAUAUUAAAAAACAAUAAUUUAAAUGUAAGUUAUUUACUUUAAAUACCUUACAAUUAAUUAAGAUAUGAUAAUAAUUAAUAAAUAAUACUUAUAAAUAGAUAAAUCAACUAAUAUUUUUAUAGACCCCAUUUUGCAUCUUUUUUGGGACCACUUGGAUUGGAGACAACAUAUUCUCUCCUAGUCCCUACAGAUGGUUGUUACAGGAAAGAGAGGGCAAGGCUGCGAGGGUAGGAUAUGUUGUUGUAGAGAUAUUUCGAGAGGGUGGCUGGCUAGGUGAUGCGACUCAUGGUAGCUUAGCUUUAAAGGCGUAUCAACAAAAUUUAUACCUUGAAUACUAUUACUAAAGUAGCCAAGCUACUAUAGCAUAGUGGUUCUAGGAUCGUUCACUGGGAAGGGUUUUCGCAAACACAAGUGAUAUUCAAGUUAGGAAAAUAGGUGAUUUUCUUAUGGAUGUUAGCUUUAAAAGAAGAUGUAAAUGUUUUAGAAAGAUUUAAACUAAUCUAAGCUAACAUUAAAGACUAAAAUGAAAGGGUGUAAAAACAAGUUUCUCAAAGAUAGGAUAGCUAUGCUCUGGCUCUUAUGCAAAUUGGAAAUCUCAGGAUAGGCUCCUCGCGUUGGGGUUGCAACUAUGGUGAUGCUUGCUUCCCGAACCGGUAUGGAUUUAGCAAAUCACGUUUUAAUCCUUUAAAAUGGCAAAACAGAUGGUAGUGAAUUUCAUCAAUGGUUAUUCACCUUAGACUUCCUUUGAAUGGCUCGUAAGAGAUAACUAAUGGUCUAAAGCCAAAAGCUUACCAAAUAUUGGCAACUCAAAGUCAUUCCAGGUGAUAAACUCACCUUUCAAUGGCAAUUGAAAUUGGUUCNNNNNNNNNNNNNNNNNNNNNNNNNNNNNNNNNNNNNNNNNNNNNNNNNNNNNNNNNNNNNNNNNNNNNNNNNNNNNNNNNNNNNNNNNNNNNNNNNNNNNNNNNNNNNNNNNNNNNNNNNNNNNNNNNNNNNNNNNNNNNNNNNNNNNNNNNNNNNNNNNNNNNNNNNNNNNNNNNNNNNNNNNNNNNNNNNNNNNNNNNNNNNNNNNNNNNNNNNNNNNNNNNNNNNNNNNNNNNNNNNNNNNNNNNNNNNNNNNNNNNNNNNAAUUACAUCAAAAAUACAAAAAGAAAAUAUCUAAAGUGGAGUCAGCAAAAACAGAGCAAAAUUCGCACCACGCAUGGGGUGUGCGAAAUUUUCGCACACUGAGGGGGGUGUGCGAGUUUCGCACACCAUUCGCACACCUUUCGCACACCUGGAGCAGUUGUCUUCCGAAGGCCAUAUCUUCCUCAUUUCAGCUCCAAAUCAUACACGGUUUGAAGCGUUAGAUUCUUGACUUCCUGAGCUUUGAAAUGGUAUAUAGCAUGUAGAAAAUGGACUUCAGGAAGUGCUCCAAAAGUGCCAAAGAAGACUGCAGCUGCCGUCCUCUGUUUUCCUCUUUGCUUUUUUUUGCUUCUCUUUGCUUCUCUUUGCUUCUCUUUGCUUUUCUCCUUUUGUUGGCUUGCUUUGGUGUAGCUAAAAGCUUGCUUUAACUUGUCCAAGUAGCUCCUCCAUCAUUUGGCAUGCUUGAAUUGAUUCAUAAGCUGAUAUAAACAUGUAAACUUGCCACAAAAUGGUUAAAACCAAUUACUAAGGACCUUAAUGAAUUAAUUGGGUUAAAUGAAUAUGAUUACUACUCAAAGGUGCUUAAAACCAUUAUAAUUAGGUCUACAAAAUAGCACUUUUUGGUAGUAAUCACUAGGAGGCGAACCAAAAAAGAAGAAGUUCUACGGAGAAAAGAGGGGCUGAAGAAUUUCUACGGAAGGAAAGGGCAAAACAAUUAAAAAAGGAAAAAAGAAAAAAGAAAAAAGAAAAAAAUAUCAAUUUUUCAAAUAAAAGGUGAUUGAUAUGAAAAACAUGGAUUCACAAUUAUAUUAAUACAUAAUAUAUUAUAAUAAUAUAAAAUUAUCUUUUAUAUUUUUUUAAAUAAUUUAUAUUUUUAUAUUUUUAUAAUUAAGUGGUUAACUUAAUUUUUAUAUUUAUAUUAUAUAUUAAAAAACAAUAAUUUAAAUGUAAGUUAUUUACUUUAAAUACCUUAAAAUUAAUUAAAAUAUGAUAAUAAUUAAUAAAUAAUACUUAUAAAUAGAUAAAUCAACUAUAUUUUUAUAGACCCCAUUUUGGGCCCCCUUUUCACAUCUUUUUUGGGACCACUUGGAUUAGAGACAGCAUAUUCUCUCUUAGUCCCUGCAGAUGGUUGUUACAGGAAAGAGAGGGUAAGGCUACGAGGGUAGGAUAUGUUGCUGUAGAGAUAUUUCGAGAGGGUGGCUGGCUAGGAGGCGAACCAAAAAAGAAAAAGUUCUACGGAGAAAAGAGGGGCUGAAGAAUUUCUACGGAAGGAAAGGGCAAAUAAUUUAAUUGAGGAUAUGAGAAAAAGGAAACAAAUAUCAGUUUUUCAUAUAUAAGGUGAUUGUUAUGAAAAACAUGGAUUCACUAUUUUAUUAAUANNNNNNNNNNNNNNNNNNNNNNNNNNNNNNNNNNNNNNNNNNNNNNNNNNNNNNNNNNNNNNNNNNNNNNNNNNNNNNNNNNNNNNNNNNNNNNNNNNNNGCAAAUAAUUCUUCAGCCCCUCUUUUCUUCGUAGAACUUUUUCUUUUUUGGUUCGCCUCCUAGCCAGCCACCCUCUCGAAAUAUCUCUACAGCAACAUAUCCUACCCUCGCAGCCUUACCCUCUCUUUCCUGUAACAACCAUCUACAGGGACUAGGAGAGAAUAUGUUGUCUCCAAUCCAAGUGGUCCCAAAAAAGAUGUGAAAAGGGGGCCCAAAAUGGGGUCUAUAAAAAUAUAGUUGAUUUAUCUAUUUAUAAGUAUUAUUUAUUAAUUAAUAUCAUAUUUUAAUUAAUUUUAAGGUAUUUAAAGUAAAUAACUUACAUUUAAAUUAUUGUUUUUUAAUAAUAAAGAUAUAUAUAUAUAUAUCUCUUAAAAUUAAUUUAAAUUAUUUUAUUAAUAAAAAAUUAAUUCAUUCAUUGUCUUUAAAAAAAAUUAUCUUUUUCAUGGUUUUAGUUAUAAGACUUGUAAAUUUAAUUUUUAAAAUAAUUAUUAAUAAUAAAUAAUAUUAAAAUUCAAAAUUCUUGUUAAAAAAAGUAAAAUGAUUAAAAGAUAUGGUACCAAUCAUUAUUAAUUAUUUAAAGUAAAUAACUUACAUUUAAAUUAUUGUUUUUUAAUAAUAAAGAUAUAUAUAUAUAUAUCUUAAAAUUAAUUUAAAUUAUUUUAUUAAUAAAAAAUUAAUUCAUUCAUUGUCUUUAAAAAAAAAUUAUCUCUUUCAUGGUUUUAGUUAUAAGACUUGUAAAUUUUAUUUUUAAAAUAAUUAUUAAUAAUAAAUAAUAUUAAAAUUCAAAAUUCUUGUUAAAAAAAGUAGACCCCAUUUUGGGCCCCCUUUUCACAUCUUUUUUGGGACCACUUGGAUUGGAGACAACAUAUUCUCUUCUAGUCCCUGCAGAUGGUUGUUACAGGAAAGAGAGGACAAGGCUGCGAGGGUAGGAUAUGUUGUUGUAGAGAUAUUUCGAGAGGGUGACUGGCUAGGAGGCGAACCAAAAAAGAAGAAGUUCUACGGAGAAAAGAGGGGCUGAAGAAUUUCUACGGAAGGAAAGGGCAAAACAAUUAAAAAAGGAAAAAAGAAAAAAGAAAAAAAUAUCAAUUUUUCAAAUAAAAGGUGAUUGAUAUGAAAAACAUGGAUUCACAAUUAUAUUAAUACAUAAUAUAUUAUAAUAAUAUAAAAUUAUCUUUUAUAUUUUUUUAAAUAAUUUAUAUUUUUAUAUUUUUAUAAUUAAGUGGUUAACUUAAUUUUUAUAUUUAUAUUAUAUAUUAAAAAACAAUAAUUUAAAUGUAAGUUAUUUACUUUAAAUACCUUAAAAUUAAUUAAAAUAUGAUAUUAAUUAAUAAAUAAUACUUAUAAAUAGAUAAAUCAACUAUAUUUUUAUAGACCCCAUUUUGGGCCCCCUUUUCACAUCUUUUUUGGGACCACUUGGAUUGGAGAUAGCAUAUUCUCUCCUAGUCCCUGCAGAUGGUUGUUACAGGAAAGAGAGAGUAAGGCUGCGAGGGUAGGAUAUGUUGCUGUAGAGAUAUUUCGAGAGUGUGGCUGGCUAGGAGGCGAACCAAAAAAGAAAAAGUUCUACGGAGAAAAGAGGGGCUGAAGAAUUUCUACGGAAGGAAAGGGCAAAUGUGAAAAUUGGAAUUUUGGAAAUUGGAAACUAGAAUUUGGAAGAAUUAGUUAAAGAUAAAAUUUUAAAAAUGAAUAAAUAAAUAAAUAAAAUAAAAUAAUAAUUACAAAAAUAAUAGUGAUUAAAUGAAUAAAUGUGAAAAUUGGAAUUUUGGAAAUUGGGAAUUAGAUUUGGAGGUCAGAAUUUUGAAGGAUUAUUUAAAGAUAGAAUUUUAAAAUAAAUAAUAAAUAUAAUAANNNNNNNNNNNNNNNNNNNNNNNNNNNNNNNNNNNNNNNNNNNNNNNNNNNNNNNNNNNNNNNNNNNNNNNNNNNNNNNNNNNNNNNNNNNNNNNNNNNNGAAUUUUGAAGGAUUAUUUAAAGAUAGAAUUUUAAAAAUAAAUAAAUAAAAUAAUAAUAAUAACGAUUAAAUAAAUGAAUGCGAAAAAUGAAAUUUUGGAGAUUGGAAAUUAAAUUGGGAAAUCGGAAUUUUGAAAAAUUAUUUAAAGGUGGAAUUUAAAAUAAAUAAAUAAAAUAAUAAUAAUAACGAGAAUAAUAAUGAUUAAAUAAAUAAAUGUGAAAAUUGAAAUUUUAGAAAUUGGAACUUAAAUUUGGAAAUAAGAAUUUUGAAGAUAUUUAUUUAAAGAUGAAAUUUAAGGAAAUCAAACCUUGACACGUGAUAGAAAAGGUGAAAAAAAAAAUAACAAUAAUUCACCAUGCCACGUAGAGAACUUAAAGUGCUCUUGCCACUAAUAAAACCUCAUGCCACAAUACACCAAAUCAAGAAAAGGAAGGCCAUCACUACCCGCCACCCAUUUUUUAAAUAAUAAAAAUAAAUCCUUCAGGAAUUGCCAUUCCACUACCAACUCUAUCCACUUUACUCUUUUAAAAAUUCUUCUGUUGUGCUCUUCUAAAUCAAGCAAAAAACACAGAGAGGCUGAGAGGGGUCAUCCUUCCAAACUGCCUUAGAAUUGCUACAAUAGAGGAGCCACUAUGUGAACAAAGCAGCAUCUCUCUGAUAUGACCAUGAAAGAACCCAGGACAUCCUGAACAAGGAGAAAAUCAAUGCCCAUAAACUAGAAGGCCAUCACAAAGAAUGACUAAUGAGGAUGUGCUCCACCAGCUCCAUCAAAUGCAAGCGGAUAUUGCUAGCUCACAAAACUGCUACUUUAUGCACCAUGACCAAAGAAGGCAGAUUUGAGGACAAGUGAACGGACUUUGGAAGCACAUGGCUGUGAAGCCAAGCUUAACCCAACACCAAUGGGGACUUUUGUAGCCUUUUUUUUUUUUUUUGGGAAACAGAUUUCUAAAGAGAGAAAGUGUAGGAAAAUGUGAGGGUUUUCCACUCCCACACCUUUGAUUGUUUGGGUUCAUUCUUCUUGUCUCUUCUUCCUGGUUUGUGGUGUGUGAAGGAAAUGAAAACGGCCGUGCAUGCAAGUUCUUUUGCAUGAGUGAGAAACGAGCAGUGGGGCAACUGGGUGUGAUGGGUAGCCAUGCAUAUGGCUUCAUGCACGUGAGAAAAGGGUGGGAAUGAGCUGAAAAUGAGUAUUGGUGGGAGAAAUGGGUCUCAUGGCCAUUUGAAAAAUGGGGACGUGGUGUAGAGAGAGAAGAUGGUGGUGAUGGGUAUGUCGGUAAGAAGGAUGAUGAGGUGAGGGUGACCAUGCAUUUUGGACCUCAUGCACAUGGGGAAAUGGUGGAAGUAAGUUGAAGGUGGGUUAGAUGGGCGGGCAAGAAGGGUGGUGGAGUGAUGAGGAUUAAGCAAACACUAGAACAUAAAACACAUGAUGAUACGGAACCCCAUUACAGGUGACACCCAUAAGCUUAAAGUGAGUGAGAUUAACAAAGAAAAUAAAUAAGGGUCCCAUAUGUCAAGCUUCAGAAAUGAACUCAUGCAUCAAUCUUGUACAAAGAAAGGCAAAGGAACUCUAAAAACGGAGCAUGCACAUGGAAGAAUAAAUUCGACCAAGACAAAUAAAUGACUCUUCCUAUCCAUAUUGAAACAAGAAGUUGAUGCCCAAAAAAUAAUAAAAAAAUAAAGUUGAAAAUGAGAAUAAAAAGCCCUGUGGAAGUCAGAAAACAAGGAGCUAUAUUAGUCAAACCUGGAAGGCCCUCCUCAAGCAAAAAGUUGCUCGUCUUCGAGCUCCCCUACCCUGAGAAUGAUUUCUUCUUUCUCUCAAUUGCUUGCCUACUCCAACUUUCUUCCUCCUCAAGUUGCUUUCUAAGGCUCUUCACUAGUUCACUCUCCAGUUCUCUUCAUGUGCUCUCAGCUGGUAUCUCUCUCAAAAUCGUUCCCUCGUAACUACAAAAAACUUUUUUUUUUCUCAUAUCCUCCGUUUGCUAUGUCAAAAAAAUCUUCUUUUUUUUUUUUUCUAAAAGUCCCCCAGCCAGCUCGCAGAACACGCUCCCCCUGUCCCUUACAGCUCACCCCUCCUCUAUAACCCACCACUUUUUUUUUUUUUCUUUUUCUUUUUUUUUUUUUUUUCAGUUUCUUCCUUUUCAAAUGGUUGUCCCCUUUGUACCAAGCAACUUACCUCUUCUUUUCCUUCCUGCUUCCCGUCCUCUUUAGCUGCCCAAUACAACACAUCCAUCAGUCUUCUUUGGUUGCUAGUCUUGUCUAGCCGUCCCUUACAGCACAUUCUCGAGUUGAUGAAGAAGAAGAUAUAAUAAAAUAGUAAUAAAAAAACCAAAGAAAUGCCCCCAUCUGAGGGGGUCCACACAAUCACAUAAAUAACAAAUCUUUAUGGAUGAUUAAUUUAAAAAUGGAGAUCAAAAUAACUUUUUUUUUUACAUAUCAGGAUAAUUUCGAUUUAUAUGAUUUAAGAAAAAUAUAUCACAUAUAAUAUAAAUAUAAAAAUUAAGUUAACCACUUAAUUAUAAAAAUAUAAAUUAUUUAAAAAAAUAUAAAAGAUAAUUUUAUAUUAUUAUAAUAUAUUAUGUAUUAAUAUAAUUGUGAAUCCGUGUUUUUCAUAUCAAUCACCUUUUAUUUGAAAAUUUGAUAUUUUUUUUCUUUUUUCUUUUUUCUUUUUUUAAUUGUUUUCUCCUUUCCUUCUACAGAAAUUCUUCAGCCCCUCUUUUCUCCGUAGAACUUUUUCUUUUUUGGUUCGCCUCCUAGCCAGCCACCCUCUCGAAAUAUCUCUGCAGCAACAUAUCCUACCCUCGCAACCUUACCCUCUCUUUCCUGUAACAACCAUCUGUAGGGACUAGGAGAGAAUAUGUUGUCUCCAAUCCAAGUGGUCCCAAAAAAGAUGUGAAAAGGGGGCCCAAAAUGGGGUCUAUAAAAAUAUAGUUGAUUUAUCUAUUUAUAAGUAUUAUUUAUUAAUUAAUAUCAUAUUUUAAUUAAUUUUAAGGUAUUUAAAGUAAAUAACUUACAUUUAAAUUAUUGUUUUUUAAUAAUGAAGAUAUAUAUAUAUAUAUAUAUAUAUAUAUAUAUAUAUAUAUAUAUCUUUUAAAAUUAAUUUAAAUUAUUUUAUUAAUAAAAAAUUAAUUCAUUCAUUGUCUUUAAAAAAAAUUAUCUCUUUCAUGGUUUUAGUUAUAAGACUUGUAAAUUUUAUUUUUAAAAUAAUUAUUAAUAAUAAAUAAUAUGAAAAUUCAAAAUUCUUGUUAAAAAAAGUAAAAUGAUUAAAAGAUAUGGUACCAAUCAUUAUUAAUUAUUAAAAAUUAAUUUUUAAAUAUUAAAUUAUUAAUUUUAUCAUUAGAAUUAUCAUAAUAAAUUUGAAUUUGUAAUAGUAAUAAAUGAAAGACUAAAAGUAAAAUAAGUAUAUAUGACAAAUUUAUGGAUUUGCCAAACAUAAUGAAAAAAAAAAAAGUUAUUUACUCUUAAAAAUAUUUUUUCAAACAUUAAAUGAUAAUUUUCAGAUUUCUUAGAAUUAUUAUAAUAAUUUUAAGUUAUAAAAUUUUAUUUGAAUUAAAUUUUAGGUCAUUAUGAAAAAUAAAAAUAAAAAUAAAUUCAUAUGUGAGCUUUAAUUUUUAUCCAAUAUAAAAAACUGAAUAUAUUUUUUAAAAAUAUUAAAUUAUUGAUAUUUUAUGAAUUUAAUAUAUGGAGUGAUAGUGAAUAAGAAAAGUAUAAAAGAUAUGGUUAUAAAAUUAUAAAAAAAAAUAAAUAAAUCAACAUCAUAUCAUUGACUAAAACUAUAAAAAAAAAAAAAUAAAUCAACAUCAUAUCAUUGACCCACAUGCGCCAUUAGUUUCAUAUGGUAUAGGAGGGGAGAGAAGAAGUGGGUGGGUGAGGGUUGGUGGAGGAGAAAAAGGAAGAGAUAGGAAAGAGGAAAAAUAAAAUAAUAAAGAAAAAAAUAAAUAAUAUAAUAUAAUAUAAUAAUAAUAAUAAUAAUAGCAACAAAUAAAAUGAAUAAAUAAAAAUAAAAAAUAAAAAAAUAAAAAAACAUAAGAAAAGAAUUUGAAAAAUAAUGAAAACUAAAAAUUAAAGGGUGAGUGUGUCAAAAAAACACAUGUAAUUGAAAUUUAAAAUUGAGCUCAAAAUUAAUAUAAAAAUAAAAUUAGGACAAAUUUUAGGGUGUACAAGUUGAUUUAUCUAUUUAUAAGUAUUAUUUAUUAAUUAAUAUUAUAUUUUAAUUUUUUUAUUUUAUAUAUUAUUUUAAUUCAUUUUAAGUUAUUUAACGUAAAUAACUUACAAUUAAAUUAUUAUUUUUUAAUAAUGAAUAUAUAUAUAUAACUCUUAAAAUUAAUUUAAAUUAUUUCAUUAGCAAAAAAAAUAAUUCAUUCAUUGUCUUUAAAAAGGUUAUCUCUUUCGGGGUUCACUUAUAAGACUUGUAAAUUUUAUUUUUAAAAUAAUUAUUAAUAAUAAAUAAUAUUAAAAUUCAAAAUUCUUGUUAAAAAAAAGUAAAAUGAUUAAAAGAUAUGGAACCAAUCAUUAUUAAUUAUUAAAAAUUAAUAACUUAAAUUAAUUUUUAAAUAUUUAAAUUAUUAAUAUUUAAAAAUUUUAUCAUUAGAAUUAUCAUAAUAAAUAUGAAUUUCAUAAUAGUAAUAAAUGAAAGACUAAAAGUAAAAUAAGUAUAAAUAACAAAUUUAUGGUUUUGUCAAACAUUAUGAAAAAAAAAAAAGUUAUUUACUCUUAAAAAUAUUUUUUCAAACAUUAAAUGAUAUUUUUCAGAUUUCUUAGAAUUAUUAUAAUAAUUUUAAGUUAGAAAAUUUUAUUUGAAUUAAAUUUUAGGUCAUUAUGAAAAAUAAGAAAAAAAUAAAUUCAUAUGUGAGUUUUAAUUUUUAUCCUACAUAAAAAACUAAAUAUUUUUUAAAAAUAUUAAAUUAUUGAUAUUUUAUGAAUUUAAUAUCUGGAGUGAUAGUGAAUAAGAAAAAUAAAAAAGAUAUGGUUAUAAAAUUAUAAAAAAAUAAAUCAACAUCAUAUCAUUGACCCACAUGCGCCAUUAGUUUCAUAUAGUAACUAAAGCUACUUUAAAAUUUCUUUUUUGUUACGUGUCUGAUUUUCCAUGCCAUAAAUUUCCUGGGAAUUCAUCCUUUAGAAAGAAAGGAAAAGUAAUGCGCAGCCAUGAACGUACCUUCGUGUGGUUGAACAUUCAAAGCUUCUCCUCUUUAAAAACCUCCCUUAAACCCCUCGCUCCAACUCAUUCAAUUCAGUGUAAAGCGAACCAGCCAUUGCUACAGAGGGAAUCCAUGGAUUCGUCGUCUCUUCUCCUCUUGUUGUUGCUGGGUUUCUUUUGUUUUGCUGAGUUCACAUCCCAUGCUCAACUUAUUCCAGAAGAUGAAGGUAUCACCACUGUAAUCUCACUUGUUCGUUCCAUUUCUGGGGAAAAUGAAACUUGGGUUUUGUUGUUAAAGAAAUCUGGGGAAAAAGAGAAGUAAAUUUGGUCUUUUCGAGCCAUCUGUGCUUUGUUUAAUACUUCACUGCUAUAAUUUUUUGGAAUCUUGUGGAUUUCUCAUGGUUUGCGAGAAUUUUGACAUUUCUGUUUGUCUCACAGUUCUUUAAAUUUUAUGAUGCUCUGGGAAUUCUUAUGGAAACAGAAAAGCAGGCAUAUCAGAUUAUGUUUUAUUUUCUUUUUUCAAAUUUUCCUCUGCUUUCUCUGCUCCCAAACGUUGGCUUAUAUCAUUCUGCUGGAAAAUUGUUUGUGCCUCUGAGCCAUAGCGAAUUUUUUAUCUGAAACGAUAAGCCAUCUUUAGUUACCGGGAAAUAAGAAAUUUUAAAAUAUAUAAAAUUUUAAUUAAUUUAAUUAUAUUUUAUUUUCUUUCGUAUUUAUACACUUGAAAACAAAUGCGAGAAAGCUAGCAUUUUUUUUCUUAUUUAAAAAAAAAAGUCAAUUUAUUUAUUUAUAUUUAUAUUUGUAUUUAUUACCAUGGUGGCAAUGCCAUUUUAUUAAGGAAAAUACAUAUAUUUAUUUUAGUAUUUGGACUUUAUUUCCAUUGAAUUAUUACCUAUAUUGUCAGGAAAUGGUAGAAAAAGAAUGGAAUGAGUCCACUUGAAUUAUCAGACCAUAUUGAAUUCAUCUCUGAGUCAGUCCCAGGUCCACUUCCUGGACUUUGCGCCCACCUAAAUUAAUCUUUAGGCCCACCAAUUUGUCUUGAUUCCAUGGUUGUUUGGAAUAAGGAAAUCGGGUUGCGUGUGGAAAAUUGGAUGAGUCAGGGAUUGUUGUUGAUUGGUAGUGUCGGUGUGAUAUCUACUGGUCUUCAAAGUCAAAGGCAGAAGAAGAACAUUGAUAUGGAUAGGUCUUGACCAUAUGAAAAGCAUAUUUUGGACUAAAAAUACACGUACCAUACAUGUGCCUUUGUUUGAAAAUAAUUAUGAAAAAUAGGUAUUUUGUCAAUUGUUUUUUUGUUUUUUAGGAAAAAAAAUGAAUAAGAAAAUAUAUUUCACAACCAAAAAAUAAAAAAUUGAAAAUAAAUUUAUGUUCUUAAAAACUGAAAAAUAAAAUAUUUUUAGAAAAUAUUUUUUUACUGUUUUCACUUGUUUUGUGAUAAUCAUUUUAAAAACUAAUUAUACAAAUAUAAAAAAAAUAAAACACUAUAAAUAAAAAUUAUUUUAAAAAUAUAAAAAAUAUGUUAACGUUUUAAUUUCCUAAAGAGACUUUUGUACUACAAAAUAUUAUAAAAUAAUUUUGAGAAAAUGUUUUUCAAAACUGUUUUCGAAAAUACUUCCCAAAUAAAGCUUAACUUUUGAAAACUAUUCUAUGAUAAUUUGUUAAAACAAAAUUUUGCUUUGAAACUUAAAACAUUUUUAAUCUGUUUUAUAUGUUUUGAAAAAUAGUUCUUCUCUCAUAUUUUGUAAAACAAAAAUUUGUUAGGAAUUUAAAAUAUUUUAAACCUAUUUUUUAUUUUUUAAAAUUUUUAUAUAACGUCUUUGUAUAAUUAUUUUUUAAAUCAUCUAUUAGAAAAUACCAUAUUUUUUGUUUUUUGAUUGUCAAACAUGUUUUCCUUUUUUUUAUUCUUAGAAACAUAGACAAGUAGGUCAUUCAUGCAGCUUACAUGGUGUGAUCACUUCAAAGGAGAGGUCAUAUGCAAUUAAAAUUUAAUGUAGUAUAAAUUAUUGGCUUGUUUUAGUAGAGGUUUGGCGAGUGUCAUCAAUAGUGCUUUAAAAUUUGGUAAUAUUAGAAGUCACUUUAAGAUUGGAAUUGAUUGUAGAGGAUUACACUUCAUAGAGUUGUUAUCAUUAGUCAUUCUUUUUCUGUACAUUCAUAAAUCCUUAUAACUGAUCAUUUUGUAUCUGCUCUGUAACAGUGCAAACUCUUAGAACAAUAUUCACAAAGCUAAACUACAAAUAUUGGAACAUAAGCCAAACUUCAUGCAGUGGAGGUUUCAAUCGAACCAUCGAUGAUAAUAGUUACAGCAAUGUCGCAUGCAACUGCACCUUCAACAAAGGAAAUGUUUGCCAUGUCACAAACAUGUAUGAUUUUAUUUUCUUGUUCUUCCCUGACAUAAUAUAUAUAUAAAAAAUUCAAUCCAUUAGAUUAAUGGAAAAGUAAUUGCAUGAGUAUAUGGAAUGGAAUAUUAUUUGCUUAAUGUUAAUAGGAAAGAAUUAGUGACAUCUUUGGAUUACAUAGGCAUUAUUUUUCCUUUCUAUCUCUUUGCAAGGCCAUUUGAUUUGUGUGCUUUGUUAAAUUCCCAUUGCAUUCAUGUACUAAAACCUUUUUUUUUUCAUGCAAAAUGAAUUGCCUAAAGUCUAGUGAAUAAAAGCCUUGUCUUUGUUUUAUAUUGAUUCAGUUUCGAUCUCUUGAACUUGAUUUGCAAAUUCCUUGUUUCCAUAUCAAUUAUCAUACGUUAGUGAGCAAUUAAUUCUAUCAUUAAGUCCACUUUCUAGUGGCUGAAUGAAAUGGCCCAAUGCAACUAGAGCUUGUGGAUUUUCACUUGUUCAUAAUGCCAGAGUGCUAAAGAGUAAAUGUUGGUUCCCACACUAUUCGAUCAAAGCUUCAAAUGAUUGUUUACAUUGAUUACUAGGUUUCCUGCCAUAAGUUUGACCUUUUUCACUUUUGAAGAUGAAAUUGAACGUCCAUUUUUUAUUAUACAUAUUAUAAUAUAUGGUUAAAAGAACACUUUGAAGAUCGAUCUAUAAAAGAAUUGAUAUGGUUUGAUUCCUCAAUUGAAUCAAUAGUAUCUCUAGAGUCCGCUUCUUCCCAAUACUAUGCGUGCAAAGAGAAAAAGUAAGGACUACCAUUAAAGCAGUCCAAGCAAGACUUAGAGCGCGUUUGAAAGUGUUUUUAUUUGAAGUAUUUUUAAUUUAAGUGUUUUUGAGAUAAUCACAUAUCAAAUAUUUCUCCAAAAAGUACUACUAGUGAUUUUUCAACUUUUUAAAAGUACUUGCCGAAUUUUGCCAAACGCCUUAUUUUUCUUUACAAACGCCUUUUAUGCUAGAAGUGCUUUCUCAAAUAGUGGAAUCAAUAGCAUAAGUCAAAAAAGGAUUAUGACCAACUACAUUGAUGAACCAAUCCUAUAAAUCCACUUAUGAUAAAACAAGUCCUUAUAGGAUUUCUAGUAGAGUCAGAAAACAUUAAGCAGAAGCACAAUAUGCUUGGGUAUGAGAACUUUAGCCUGACUACCAAGUCUAAUUAUUUUGUUAUACGUCAGUUGUACUUUUCAUUUUCUUAUUUUUUACUUCCUUUUGUGAAUUACAGCCAGCUGAAGGGUCUUGAUUUGGAUGGAACUUUACCUGAUGAGUUUGGAAAUCUUUCUUAUCUGCAAGAACUGUAAGUGACAUGUUUCUCAACAUUGGGAAGUCAAUGGACCAAAUUUGCCUUGAUGUUUCAUUGGGUUUUUCAACUUAUCAAACAAAUUUCUUAACUCACCAAUACCUUAAUCCCUACUACAUGGGGUUGCAGUUUCACUAAAUUAUAGAGGUUAGUUCACUUCUGAUGUGUUUGAAUAUCCCAUGAAAUUAAGUUAGACCAUUGUGUUUCAAAUAACAUUCAAAACAAGUCCAUUGCGUUUACUAUAGUAUUUACAUGAUUUUAUUGCCUUUUUAAAAAAAAAUAAUAAUAAUAAUAAUAAGUGCAGGCAAAGAUUAAAACAAAUGAUCUCAUUUCACUUUUGUUGUGGUGAUUACCAAUUUUUGUGUUUUCUAGUAAUAGUAAUAGACUGGAUAAACUGUCAUGAAAAUUAUUUGAUCAUCAUCAUCAGAUUCAGUUUUUGAUAUUGUACAGUCAUCUCCAGUAUCUGACUUGAACCCAAAUGAGGGAUUCUUCUUUUAUCCGGUGACCAUGUAAAAUUAAAAUAUACUAAGGGAUUCUUUUUUUUUACUAAAGCAGUGAUCUCUCCCGAAACUAUAUCAAUGGAUCGAUCCCUACAAGUCUCGGUCGGCUUUCUCUUACCAUUCUGUAAGUUCUGAUUAAUUGCAUUUGCACUUGUGAGGUGAGGGUCUUGUUUUCCAGUAAUUUACUAAGUACUUCAUAGUUGGGAAAGUUUAACUUUUGGUACACUGCAGUGCUCUUGUUGGAAACAGAAUCUCUGGGUCGAUUCCUGAAGUAAUCAGUAAUAUCAGUACACUUGAGGAGCUGUAAGUCAUGAAACGGAGUUGAAUGUCUAUUAGAGAAAUUAAUGAUGCCCAACCUUGAUUAUAAAUCCAAAUUUACUUUUCCAGGGUCUUGGAAGCUAAUCAGCUUGGAGAACAUCUCCCUCCAAGUCUUGGAAAGUUGAGUCAUUUAAGGAGACUGUAAGAAUGUUGUUCUCAUCCCUUUCCUUAUAUGCAUAUUAAUUAUUCAUUUCUUUUAUUUCAAAUAAUCACCAAGUCCUUGUAUUCUGGUUGUAGUCUUAGCUGCCAAAAUGCCCAAAAUCAAUUUGAGGAAGCUAAUUUUUUGAGUCAAAGACUUUUAUAAUGCAUUUUGUGUGAUGAAAUGACUCAUGGAUAUGGUGAUUGUAUACUGGUUGAGUUCAUUUUCAGUUGCACGAUUGCUUAUUUUUUAGUUCAUUUACAUCGAGUUAAUGAAAAUAAUGGGAAGAUGGAUUUUCAUAUAUCUGAAAGUGCAAUCUACCUUUUUUGUUCUUUUAUCUCCAGGGUGAAUCAUGAGAAAUAUUUAUAACCAAGAACACAAAUAUAGGCAAAUAUGGCUAUGAACUAGGCGGUUUUUAUGGACUGACAGAUGGAAAUUCAUAUAGGCUAUUUCUAUUUUUCUAACAUUAAGAAACCAAGUUUAGUAUUCAUUAAUUCAUCCUAUGAUGAAAUGGAGAUGUAGAGCAUGAUUUGUAAUGCUUCAUAGAGAAUAGAAGUAAAGAUGAUAAGGACUAAUCUGCUGGGUAUUUACACAUUGUGUUUUUAAUGCCAAAGUUCAUCAUUUGGGAAGUUACUUUGUUUUGGAGGGUGAUUAACAUUGUUGGGGAAUUAUUUUUUCUUAAUGUUUUCAACAAAAGACUUUGCAUUGACCAUCUAUUCUGGUUCUGUUGUCUAAUAACUAUUUCCAAGGAAUUCAUUUGUUUUUUUCUUUCGGUGCUCCUACAGUGUUCUUUCUGCAAACAAUUUCACAGGAACAAUACCAGAAAAUUUUCACAAUCUCAAGAACCUAACUGAUUUGUAAGUGGUGUAAUUAUUUGGACAUUUAUCCUUUUAUGCAAAUUUAGCAUUUUCUGAACUGCAUGUACCAUUUGUAGUAGGAUAGAUGGGAAUAAUUUAUCUGGGAAGAUACCAGAUUGGAUUGGGAAUUGGACCAAACUUGAGAAACUGUGAGUGUUAUACUUCAUUUCAUUUAUCUGCCAUUUUGUCCACUUAGAAAAAUUUCAUACAAACUCAGCUAAAUUCUCUAGUAAUCUAUAAACAUAUUAAACUGUUGCAGGUAUCUGCAAGGCACAUCAAUGGACGGGCCCAUUCCUUCUAUUAUAUCCCAGUUGAAAAACUUAACCGAGUUGUGAGCAUGUGUUCCACUAUCUAAUAGUUGCUGUAUUCAGUUCAUGAUGUUAUUCAAGAUUAAAAUUCAAUUCAUAGAAAUGUAAUUAUUUAAUUUGUUUUGUUGUAUCUUAAUCAUCAGGUUAAUAUCUGAUUUGAGUGGACCGAUUACAUCUUUCCCCAAUUUGAAGGAUAUGAACAAAUUAAAAACAUUGUGAGUUGAAGAUAGAUAUAUUUCAUGAAUCAUGACAAGCUGCAGUCCUAAGUUAUCCACAUUAUGUUCCAUUAACUUAUCAAGAUGUUUUACCUCAUUUGUGUUAUGCAGGGUGAUGAGAAAUUGCUCCAUUACAGGUGAAAUCCCAGAAGACAUUGGAAAUAUUGAAAGUUUAAAACUUUUGUAAGUUUUUUUGAAUGGACAUUCUUAGAGAUGUUCUUAAUUUUCUUCAUUGGUAUAUAUGUAUGUAUGUAAGAAGAAGAAAAAUAUAAUCAGGAUAUAAUUCUCCUAUGGCAUACAAUCAGUACAUUACAUGGUUGUAUGGAAACAACUUUUCUGAUUCAUGUUGAACUUUUUUCUUGCAGAGACCUGAGCUUCAACAGACUGAGUGGUACAAUUCCAAAGAGCUUUAAGCAAGAAAAGAAGGUGAAAACAAAACUCGAUUUCAUGUAAGUUAAAUACUUGUAAUAAAGUACAAGUCUAAAUAUCCAGAAAUCUACAUUUUAUUGGCUCCUUAACCAGUCAUUUUUAUCCAUUAAUAACUUGUUUAAUUAUAACUGAGAUAUGGUGCUAUCUAUGUACACAGGUUUCUCACCAACAACUCACUGACUGGAGAAGUGCCCAGCUGGAUAAGAUCGGACACUGAAAACAAAAUGUUAGUAUUUCUCAGUCUCCAGUUGUUCUGAUUUGGCUAUGAUAUCAUUCAUGUAUUGUACAAUGUUACAUACACAUGUGGUCUCUUUUUAUCAGUGGUUCUUUGAAACCAAAUUAAUAUUUGAGUCUCUCGUUCAAUCAAGAAAUAUAACACUAACUCCAUUUCAAUCUCGGUUGCAGUGAUUUAUCUUACAACAAUUUUACAGGGCCACGGCUUGAUUCUUGCAAACACCAAGUGUAAGCUUUCUUCCUUCCAUUAUUUGUACAUUUGGUUCUGUUUUUCCCUCAUCUUCUUGAAACAUUUUUUCACAACUCCACAGGAACUUGGUUUCCAGCUAUGCAUCUUCAGCAAGAAACAUGUAAGUUCUUCCAACCUUGUUUUACAUGUGCAUUCAGCAUUAGAAUUAUAAACAGGAGACUGAAUCAUAGUUCAACUUUCUAGGACCCCUUGGUGCUUACAGAAGGAUCUCCCUUGCUCUAGAAAAGCCAAAUGUAAGCUUUUGUAACCUAUUGUACUCUGUUAGUAUGAAGUGGCAAAUAAGUUGAAUCUCUGCCUUGAUUCCAGUUACAUUUAAUUGCAGACUAUUCCUUGUAUAUCAAUUGUGGAGGAGAGGAAACAACUUUUAAAGGGAAGACAUAUGAAAAAGACAAUAAUGUUGAGGGUGCAUCACAGUUCUUUACUGAUAGUCUAGACAAAUGGGCUUAUAGCAGUACAGGGGUUUUCAUAGGCAACCGGCAUGGUAGUCACCUAGCUAAAAACGAAUCUGCUUUGAACUCAAAGGAUGCAGAGAUCUACCAAACUGCUCGUCUUGCUCCCAUCUCACUCAAGUAUUAUGGGCUUUGCUUGCAAAAGGGCAAUUAUAAAGUGCGACUCUACUUUGCUGAAAUCAUGUUUUUUACUAACCAGACAUUUGGUAGCCCUGGGAAGCGCUUGUUCGAUGUUUCAAUUCAAGUGAGUGAAAAUAUCAAUUUCAUUAUCUCUAUUCCAAAUAUGUAAAGAACUGACUGUACUUUUCUACAGGGGAAUGUAGUUUUGAAGGAUUUUAAUAUCAUGGAAGAAGCUAAAGGUGCUGGUAAGGGCAUUUAUAAGGAUUUUGAUGCCUCUGUUGAUGGUAGCACUCUGGAGAUCCACUUAUACUGGACAGGCAAAGGGACUAAUUCCAUUCCGGAUGAAGGUGUAUAUGGGCCUCUUAUAUCUGCUAUUGCAGUGACACCAAGUGAGCUUAUCUCAUAUUCCAGGUUUUACUACUUUUCUCGCCACUAGCUUGUCAUGGUGUUAUAUAUCUUACUGUUCUUGUAGAAUUCAAUCCCAACCCGGGGCUGUCUGUUGGAGGUAUCAUCGGCAUUGUGAUACCUUCAUGUGUGGUCCUCAUAUUGAUUUUGGUACUCUUACGAAUGAAAGGCUACUUAGGAGGAAAAGACCUUGAAGAUAGAGGUGAGAUUAAUCAUGCAGGAAAUUUGUGACUGUAAUGCCUUAUCUCUUUGAAAUUGUGACAAUACUUUGUGUGCUUGUUUUUCACCAAUUUUAUUUCACUUGUUACAGAACUACGUGAGCUAGGGAUGCAAACUGGUUAUUUUAGUUUACGACAGAUCAAAGCUGCUACCAAUAACUUUGACUCUGCAAAUAAGAUUGGUGAAGGUGGAUUUGGGCCAGUUUACAAGGUAGUUACAGAUUUGGAUUUUCCUUUAACAACUGUAUACUAAAGCAGUGAUUAAGAGGGAAAUGCAAUGCUUUUCUGCAGCUAUCUCACAUCCUUGCAUUAUCUGAAUUCAUGAUCCAAAAUUUUGUCCUGCUUGAUCUUAGGGUGUACUGUCAGAUGGUUCAGUAAGUGCUGUUAAGCAGCUCUCUUCUAAAUCGAAGCAAGGGAACCGAGAAUUUGUAAACGAAAUAGGCAUGAUAUCUGCCUUACAACACCCAAAUCUUGUGAAGCUUUAUGGCUGUUGUAUCGAAGGAAACCAGUUGUUGCUCAUAUACGAAUAUUUGGAAAACAAUAGUCUUGCACGUGCACUUUUUGGUAAAUGCUUCACUACGAUUUUGUAUUCCAUUUUAUUAUAUUUCAACAAUGAAUAUUAUGACUUAAGCCUCUACCUCGACCACUUGUAGGUUCUGAUGAACAGCGGCUAAAUUUGGACUGGCCAACUAGGAAGAAGAUAUGCUUGGGGAUAGCAAGGGGAUUGGCAUAUCUUCAUGAAGAGUCAAGAUUGAAAAUUGUUCAUAGAGAUAUAAAGGCAACAAAUGUGCUGCUUGAUAAGAAUCUAAAUGCUAAGAUAUCCGACUUUGGCUUGGCUAAGCUGGAUGAAGACGAGAACACCCAUAUCAGCACACGGAUAGCUGGAACAAUGUGAGUGUUUUCGCUCAUUUCCUCCUGUUAUUAGCUUCCCUAUAUCAAAUUUGUAUAUGAUAUAAGAUUAUAACUUUGGUGCUGAAAAUGUGGAGAUUAAUUUCUUCUAUGCAUUUGAAUUCAUGUCAGAUAAAUAAUAAAUUGAUACAAUGAGAUGGAAAACUUAAUCAAACACUGAAAUAUGGAAUUUCUAAGUAGCAGUUCUUUUUUCCAUUUUAGGUUUAAAAAGCUCAUUCUCUUCAUUGUUUAUUCUGUAAAGUCGAUUGUUGAAACAGCUCUAGAAAGGUCCAACUAUUAUUGAGAAUUUGUUACUACAAAAUCUGAAGCUACAAAAUCUGAAGCAUCAGUGGCUUCGAGGCAUAAGUUGUCAAUCCUCUUUCUCUGGUUUUGGAGAAGCAGAAUUUAGUAAGACUGUCGAGUUUCUGAAGUGGGUUCAUGCAUAUACAGAAAAUUUUGCCUCUCAAAUAUGGUUGAUUAGUUCUUCUUGUCCUCUUUCCAACAAUAAUUUUGUGCAUAUAUUGAUUAUAUGUAUAGCACAAGACUCACCAUUGAGCUGCUGAUUUUUCUUCAGAGGAUACAUGGCUCCUGAAUAUGCAACGAGGGGUUACUUGACCGACAAAGCUGAUGUUUACAGCUUUGGAAUUGUUGCUUUAGAGAUUGUCAGCGGGAAAAGCAACACCAAUUACAGGCCAAAGGAAGAGUUUGUUUAUCUUCUUGAUUGGGUAAACAAUGGAUUCUUGCUCAUCCUUUUUGCUAUAUUUUUUCUGACCAUAUGUGCUUAUAAUGAAGAACGUGUUUCGGGUUCUACAUUGGACUGCAGGCUUAUGUCCUGCACGAGCAGGGAAAUCUUCUGGAGCUGGUGGAUCCAAGUCUUGGUUCAAACUACUCAGAGGAGGAGGUGAUGAGGAUGCUGAACUUGGCCCUCUUAUGCACCAACCAAUCUCCCACUCUCAGGCCACCCAUGUCCUCUGUAGUGAGUAUGCUUGACGGCAAAAUUGCAGUCCAAGCACCAACAAUCAAGCAUGAUUCUAUGAACCCGGAUAUGAGAUUCAAAGCCUUUGAGAAGCUCUCACUGGACAGCCAGUCUCAUGUCUCAGCAUUCUCUGUAGACAGUCAGGUCCAAGGCAGCAUAUCACUUGAUGGACCAUGGAUUGAUUCCUCAAUUUCCCUCCAUAGCAGAGAAGAAACAAGGGACUUUUCUUCAUCAAGCAAGCUUCUUACAGGACACCAAGAUCUUUACAGUAUACAUUUGGACUGAUCAAUGAAAAUAUGGUAUAUUAAUAAUACUUCCAAGUUGUUCUGCAAGAAUGUUUUCUGCAAACUAUUUCGAAUUGAUUCUUGAAGUAGUAGAAGCAGAAAUAAGUAUGUUUUGUUGUAUAAUUACAAUAUUUGUAUAAAAUUAUGUGAAUAAGUGCUCCGGUUGAGGCUU
RNAcentral lists this long non-coding RNA (74868 nucleotides) under Vitis vinifera (wine grape). RNAcentral's name for it is "long non-coding RNA (VVIN_LNC006373)". The record is from RNAcentral. Lineage: Eukaryota; Viridiplantae; Streptophyta; Magnoliopsida; Vitales; Vitaceae.